UUCUUUUCUUUGUUUUUUUAGUCAAUGGCUGACCACCACCUCCAAAACACUCAACCAAUGACUCACCAAAUGGUGAAAGCCGCUACUGCCGCAACAGCCGGUGGUUCCCUCCUCAUUCUCUCCGGUUUAAUCCUAGCUGGCACCGUUAUUGCACUCACUAUAGCCACUCCACUCUUCGUUAUUUUCAGUCCAGUUCUUGUCCCUGCUCUCAUUGCAACAGCUCUCCUAGCAACGGGUUUCGUCGCCUCCGGCGGUUUCGGUGUUGCAGCCGUCACGGUUCUGUCCUGGAUUUACAGGUCCUUGAUCUUUUUUUCUUUUUUAAUGAUCUCCAAAAAUACCAUGAAAUUUCCUGUACUGGACUAUUUUUAUUUAAAAAAUAGUAAAUUAGUCUCUACAUUUUUAUCAAAGAUUAAAGAGAGUAAAUUUUAUCAAAGAUCAAAACGAAAUAUCUUUUCAUUAAAAAUUUCAUCUAUUUUUAUAAUUAAAAAUUUCAUAAAUUAGUAUGAGAUACACCUUAAUCAUUACAUGUUAAAGUCGUGUCAAUUUUUUUAGCAGUCCGUCGGGUCAGUCAAAUUUUAAUGUAAUUUUUUUUAAAUGAACAAAAAUAAUUAAUUUAUUUUUUUUACGUGAUUAAAUUUUUUAAAAUUUUUUUAUUAGAAAGUAAAAUUCAAUCCAACUGUUAGGGCUUCCAUGGCCCUCUUAGUAGCUUUUUCUUAUUCUUAAAUGACUAUAUAUACAGGUAUGUGACGGGGAGGCACCCACCGGCGGCGGAUCAGUUGGAUAGUGCGGGGAUGAAAUUGGCUAGCAAGGCACGGGAGAUGAAAGAUAGGGCGGCACAGCUCACCGGUGCGGCGGCUUCUUAAAUUAGUUCUCUACUGCAUGCUUUUGUAAUGGAGCUGUGCAAAAGUUCAGGAUCAAGUGGCCAUUAAACCGAUCCUUAAUGAUGAUGUUGUUAUGUUGUUGAUGAUGAAAAGAUGUUUUUUUCUAAAUUUAAAAGCAGCAUUAGAAACUUCGGGGGAUGAUGUGGCUGUCUGUUUAUGUUAAAAACUCCCAUGUAAUUGACUGUAAUAAGCACUACUUGUUUUUGUUGUUAGUUUGUGUGUUUGUUGGUUCCACUUCAAUUACAAUAAAGUAAAAUUGAAUAUUUAAAUUAAACACUAUAUAAUAUAUAUUAUAUUAAUAUACAAUAUUAUUUUUUAUUUUUAAAAAUAUUUAAAAUUAAUAAAAUAUUAAUAUAAAAUAUUAUAAUUUUCAAGUUUAUUGAACAUAUAUAUUUAAUUAUCUAAUCAUAUAAUAAAUUAUUUAAUAUUUCAAUUUUAUUUAAAUAAUAAAAGUAAUUUCAAUAUUAAUAUUUUAAUAAUAAACUAUAUAUUAAUAAUAAAUGUUUAUUAAAAUAUGUUAUCUGUACUUUUAUUUUUAAAAAUUUAGUCUUUUUAAUUUUAAAAAUUAAGUCUAAUUUUUAAAUAUCGGUAAAUCUUUUUAUAAAUUUUAUUGAUGUCAUAUUUUAAUUCAAAAAUAAAAGUAAGUAGAUUAAAUACUUAAAAUAGAUUAAAUUUAAGCCUGAUAUAUUUUAAAUAUGGUUUAAAUAAUGCUUAGCUUCAUUUAUCCCUUAUAAUUAUUUGUAAUAUAUAUAAUUUAAAUUAAAUUUAUAUAUGACAUUGAUUAUUACAAAAUAUUUUUAUUGUUAAAAGUAUAUUGCACUAUAAUAUUUUAUAACAAAUAUAUUUAUGUUAUCUUAAUGUAAAAUAUAAAUUUAUAGAUAUAAAAUAAAUUCAACUAAAUAAUGAAAAGAUUUGUUUCAUUUAAAAUGAAUUUUAUGAAAUAUAUUCAGAAAUAAUAAAAAAAUAUUUAACAUCAUGCAAAUACUAGAAUAUAUUAAUUUUUUUUAGAAAAUAAAGUUAUUUUUCUUAAACUCAUUUUCAGUGAAACAAACAGAGUGUAAGUGUUAAGUAGUGAUAAGAUAUAUUAUAUUUUAAAGGAUAUCUGAUAAGGUGUAUUUUGCUUUAGAAAAUUUAAUAUAAAUUUUCGAAAACGAUAGAAAGAAUAGUUACGAAUUUUAGAUAGCUACAAAACUUGAAUAUGAAUAACAAAACAAUAAUUAUCCGAAGUUUAAUAUUUAAUUAAAAACUUAUAAAAUAAAUUUUAAUUAUUUUGAAAAGAAAAAAUUGCUAUUUCGUCAAUAAAAUAAGUACUUUUAACAUUUUAUAUUGACAAAAUUACAGAUGAGCAUAUCAUGUAAUUAGAGGUGAUCAUAGGCCGGGUCAGGUUUGGGUCGGGCCCAGAUAAAAAUGCUAAAACUCGAGUCUGACUCGGCUCGCUCAUAUUAAUUUUUUAUAUUAUAUUAUUUUUACAUAAUUUUUAAAUAUAUAUAAUACAUCAAAAAUACUAAAACAUUAAAAUAAAUAUUUUCGAACAAAUUGAAAGUAAAUUAAAUAAUAUGCAUACUUAAAUAAUACUAAGAUAGAUGCAACUUAACCAGAAAAUGUCUCUAAAAUAAUAACAAAAUUAAUAAUAAAACAAGUGUUAUACAAUAUCUAAAUAAUAAUAAUAAUAUAGUAAUAAUAUAAUAGUGAAAUAGUAACAAAAUAGGGAGAAAACAAUAAGAAAAUAUCAUUAAAAUAACAAAAAAUAUAGCAGCUUUUUUCUUGGCAUUUAGCGAAUUCGGGUUGGGACAAAAAUAUAUUACCUGAGGCUCGGCCCGUUUUUAAAAUAGGCCUUAUUUUUUUACUUAAAUCCUCAUAUUUUUCAGUCAGGUCUACAUGUAACUCAUGUUAGUCUUUUUUCUACUGCAGAACAUAUUUAAGAACAUCACGAAUCUGUCAUGUACUCAUGUUAUUACACAAAUUCCGUCUUAAAACAUAGUCUUUUGUUUAUUCAAAUUUGACUGGAUUUAAUAACUUUGACCUCUCUCAGAAUUAAUUAUUUUAGUGAUGAGAUUAAAAAUUGUGAAUAUAUAUUAAAAUAAAUAUUAUUUGGAUUCAAAUUUAGACCUCAGGUUAGAUUAAAAAACAAUCAUUAAAGACACAAUGUGCUAUUAUACUAUAAUAAAAUUUAUAUUUUAUAAGAUUAUAGACUUAAAUUAAAAUUAUAUAUUUUUUAAAACGAUAACUAAUAUUUAUUAAAAUCAUAUUUAUGGUAAAUUUUAAAUUAAAUAAUAAGAUAUAUUUAAAUUAUUUUAUAUUAAUAAAAAAAUAAAAAAAUAUAUUUAAGAUAAUAAAUAAUUUAUAACUUAUUAGAUUGUACUAUAUAAAAUCAUAUAACUGUUAUAUAAAAAGAUUUAUAUAACUGUUAUAUAACUUAUUAGAUAUAUCUUCUAAUGAGAAAUUAAAAGUUAGUGUGCUGAAAAUUUUCCUAAAGAAGUGUGUCAAUGGUCCAUGAAGAAGUAUUUGCAAUUGGAUAGCUCCAAUUAAGAAAAGAAAAUCUAACAUUUAAGAUUAAAAAAAAAAUUGGUAAUUGAGUCUUUACUUGAUUAGUAUCUGUAUUCUACUUAUUGUAUAAAAAAUAAAAUAAAAAUUAAGUUUAAGAAAAUGAAAAAUCAAAGACCUAAUAAAAAUUGAAAAAUUAAAAUUUCAAGUUAAGUAAACCAAUAUUAAAAGAAAGCAACCUUACAGUAUAAAAUUUCAUAAAAUUUUCUUAUGAUUAAUACUUUAAUAAUCUAAAAAUUGAAUUUUUUAAUAGAAAUGUUAAGAUUUUAAAAAUUGAACUAAACACUCAAUGAAUGAUGCUUCCGAUUUUGGGUUUAACCAAUUGAAUCAAUAGGGAAGAAAAUAUUCAACAACCGGUUACACUUUACAGCCCAGGCAUUGUUGUAUCUCACAAUUUUAAAUCUCACAAAUGAGUCUGACGCUACAUUUGACUCUUUCAGCAUCUCACCCAUAAAUUUCAUCUUUUUAUGUUUCCCUCUUUUUUCACUCAAUGUCUCUCACUCAUAAAUUAGCCUCAAAUUGCACCUUGUAGUAUUUUUUUCGUCGAUUAAGCUUUUAACUCAAUUGGAAUCGGAAUUGUUGUUGGUGCAAGAGAAGGUGAGUUUGAGUACGCUGAAGCACAUUAUCUUCUUAUUUAAGGGUUGAGAGGGGCUAUGAACUAAAACUAGGAAUCGUGGUGCUACACUCAUAUGAAAAGAAAGUAAUCGCUUAGAACGCACACCAAAAUUUUAAAUUUUUAUAAAAUUUUUUAACAUAUUGUUAAAAUUUUUGAUAUAUUUUUAAAGCAUUUGCAAACCCUUCCCUCAAGGCUUUUUAGUUUCUAUCUUUUUCUUCAUCCCCUCUAAAGUUCAAAACUCUGACAGUUAAUAAACAUUUCUAUUUGUUUUCUUUAAAGUUUAAAGCUAAAAAAUCCUACAAUUUUAAAUAUCAAUAUCUUUGAGGACUAAAUUUUCUCUUUCUAUUCUUUAAAAUCCAAAUUUUAGAGUAAAAACAAAAUGAGAAAUUGAAAUGAUAGAAAAACAAAAAAAUAUUAAAAAUUUUUUUUUUCUUUCCAUAAAUUUGCUUGGUAGGAAAGAUGAGAGAAUUAAAAGAAAAACAACUUAAGACUAAAAAAAUUGAUGACAGAGUCUUUACUCGGUUAGUGAUGCAUUGUUGUCAAUAUAGGAAGAUGCGAGUUUAAACUUAUUGAAACGCAUUUGUCCUUCUAUUUUAAAUAGAGUUGAGGAGUAGUUAUAAAUUAUUCUACUCAUCAUAUAAGAAAAAACAAAAAUAAAAAUUAAACUUAAGAAAAUGCAGAAUCAAAGACCUAAUAAAAAUUGAAAAAUUGAAAACUCAUGUAAACCGACAUUCAAGAAUGCAGCCUUGAUGUUUUGAAAAUAGAAUGGAAUAAAAUUAAGCAAAAUGAAAAGAGCGAUUCACUUAUAAUUGUGUAAAUUUUCAUAUUUUUUUAUGAUUAAUACUUUAAUAAUCUAAAAUUUAAAUUUAUUAAUACAACUAUUCUUAUCAUCACUAUUUUAAAAUUUGAACUAAACAUUCAAUGAAUGAUACCUCUAAUUUUCGAUUUAACCAAUUGAAUCAACGGGAAGAAAAUAUUCAACAUCCGGUUAUACUUUACAGCUCAGGCAUUAUUGUAUCCCACAAUUUUAAAUCUCAUAAAUGAGUCUGAUGUUGCAUUUGACUCUUCUAACAUCUCACCCAUAAAUUACACCUUUUAAUAUUUCCAUUUUUUUUACCCAACGUCUCUCACUCAUAAAUUAGUCUUAAAUUACACAUUUUAAUAUUUUUUUCGUCGAUUGAGUCUUAACUCAGUUAGUAUCGAUAUUGUUGCUAGUGUAAGAAGACGUGAAUUCGAGUGUGCUGAAACACAUUAUUCUCUUAUUUAAGGGUUGGGAAGGGACUAUAAAUUAAACCGAAGAAUCAUGAUGCUACACCCGUAUAAAAGAAAAAAAUAAAUCAAUAUAUAUAUUUCAUUUUUUUCAAUAGAUUUUUAUUAUUUUAGUUUCUACCUUUUUCUUCAUCCCUCUAAAGUUUAAAACUCUAACUGUUAAUAAAUAUUUCUAUUUGUUUUCUUUAAAGUUUAAAGCUGAAAAAUUCAACAACUUUAAAUCUCAAUAUCUUUGAUGAGUACUACCCAAUAAACAUAAAACUUUCUCUUUUUAUUCUUUAAAAUCCAAAGUUUAGAGUGAGAAUAGAAAAUUAGAAAGAUGAAAAAUUAAAAGGAUACAAAAUAUAAAGAUUAAAAAAAUAUUUUUUUUUUCUUUCCAUAAAAGUGCUUGGCAGGAAAAAUAGGGAAACUAAAAGAAAAACAAAUUUCUUUCCAACUAUUUCUUAGUAGAAUUGAAAAACGAGAGAAAAGAAAAUAAACAUUUGAUAUUUCUAUCAUAAAAACAUGUCAAUCAAGCACACUAUCAAUCAUGCGUGUAAUUUUUUAAAUCAAUAUGAUAUUUUUAUCAUAUCGAUCUAAAAUAUUAUUUAUAUUAAUAUACACUUAUUUUUUUGUUUGAGUCUGUAAGUACCUAUUAAUAUACAUAAUUUUAUUUUUGGCAAAAUGAUUAAUGUUCGGUUAAAUGUUAGUAGACUAUAAAUACCACUUUAUAAGUCUUUGAAUUUAGAUUUUGUGAGCCGAAAACAUUUUCCUUAGUUUCAUAGUUCUUAGUUCAGGGUUUAGUUAGGUUCUCUUUUCUUUUUUAAUUUUGCUAUAGUAUUUUUAUUUUUUCGUUUUAGUUGGAACAUUGUGAAGAGAGAGAUAUUAAACGCUCGUGCUUCGUCGGAUUUUAUCUAUUAAUGAGCAUUUUCUCAACCUUAUCUUUUACAUUUUAUACUUACUAUGUGUUUGUUAAAAUGCAUGUGAGGAAUUCAAGUUUAAUCAUGUACUGAAUUAUUUUAUUGGUUGAUUGAUAAGUGGGUUACUUAGCUAAGUUAUUAUCUAUGCUUUGAUUGGUAAGUGUAUUAAAUUGCAUAUUACGUACUAGAAUUGACACAUUUAGUGGAAGAUUUAGAUGGGCGAGACCAAGAGGAGACUCUAUCAAGUAGGUAUUUGAUACAUUUGUGCCGAAUAGUGAGAUCGAGAUGAGAGCCUAGGUGUUAUGUUUUAGUUUAGGAUGGGACCUAGAGGAGAUUCUUAGUUGGGAAUGACAAACAAUAUAAUCAUCAUAGAUUUAUCAGCUUAGUUAGUAAUCCACGAAUCAAUCAACCAUCAUUUCAAUCUAUUUGCAUUAAUUCCAACAAAAAAGGAAAAAAUUUAGUUUAGUAUUUUUAUUUGUUAAUUUAGUUAUAGCUUAAAUAUUAUUUUAUUUGAAUUUACACUAAUAAUUUUUGACUCGAUCAAAUUAGUAAUUGUUGAACUUGUAAUUAACUUGACAAAAGCAUUUACCAACAAUCUCUUGUGUUCCUUAGAAUGCUAUAGCGUUCCAUUGACAUUACAAAUAUUCUACUCAUACAAAAUAAAAGACAAAUAAAAAUUAAAUUUAAGAAAAUACAGAAUCAAAGACCUAAUAAAAAUUGAAAAAUUAAGAACUCAAGUUAAGUAAACCAACAUUCAAACAAAGCAACCUUGAUGUUUUGAAAAUAGAAUGGAAUAACAUUAAGUAAGAAAAAGAAAUUCACUUAUAACUGUGUAAAAUUUCAUAAUUUUUUUAUGAUUAAUACUUUAAUAAUCUAAAAUUUGAAUUUAUUCUUAUCAUCAAGAUUUUAAUAAACAUUCAAUGGAUGAUAUCUCCGAUUUUCGAUUUAACUAAUUGAAUCAAUGGAGAAGAAAAUAUUCAACAACCAGUUACACUUUACAGCCUAGGCAUUGUUGUAUCCCACAAGUUUAAAUUUCAUAAAUGAGUCUGACGUUACAUUUGACUCUUCUAACAUCUCACCCCUAAAUUGCACCUUUCAAUAUUUCCAUUUUUUUCACUCAACGUCUCUCACUCAUAAAUUAGCUUUAAAUUGCACAUUUUAAUAUUUUUUUCGCUGAUUGAGUUUUAGCUUAGUUGUUAUCAGCAUUGUUGCUAGUGCAAAAGAGUGUAGAUUCGAGUGCGCUGAAGCAUAUUAUACUCCUAAUUUUAUAAUGAAAAGAAAAUUAGAAAGAUGAAAAAUUGAAGGGAUAGAAAAAUAAAAAGAUUAAUGCAAAUAUAUCAUUUCAAUCCAUUUUCAUUAAAAUAAUUUGGGGUGGAUUGAAACAUAAAACAAAAGUAUAAGUAUCAAAUUGAACUUUUCUCUUUUUUUUUUCUUUUUUCUUUUGCAAGGGUAUCAUAUUGCACAUUCAAGAAAAGUUUUGAGGGUAAAUGUGACAUUUAACUCUAAAAAUAAACAAAGAAAAAAAAAGGAAAAGAAAAGAAAAGCACAACCUAAACAAAGAUGCUUAAUAUCUCUUUUGGCCUUGUAUUAUAAUUAAAUUAUGACUUUGAUACCUAUACAAUUUUUUAUCAGUUUCAUCCUGUACUUUCAUUAUAUAAUCCCCAUUACCCCUAACUCAAAUUUCUGUAAAAAAAUUAAGCCAACCAAUGACAUGCUGCCAAGUUUCACGAAAAUUAAAAAACUAGAAAAUAUAACAAAACUAAAAAAUAAUUUAAAAUAAAGAAUAAAAAAAAUCUUAAAACUCAGAAAAUCAUUUAAAAAACUUUAAAAAAAAAUCAUAAUCCAUUGUUGAAUAUUAUAAAAAAAACUAAAAUUAAAGUAUGCAAAACUUCAAAAAAAAUUAGAAAAAUCAUAAAUUUUUUAAAAAAAAUUGUUUGUUUGGAAUUUUAAAAUUAAGGUAUUUUUACUAAAAAAAAUUCAAAUUUCCUUAAAAAAUCCAAAAAAUUCUAAAAUUUACAAAAAUACCAUAAAAUUCUUAAAAGAAAUUCAUAAAGGUCUAAAAUUUUCCAAAAACCUAAUAUUCCAAACAAACAAUUUUUUAAAAAUUUAUGAGAUUUUUAUUUUUUUAGUGUUUCGCAUACUUAUAAUUUUUAAUUUUUAUAAUUUUCUAAGUUCUAAUAUUUUUAUGAUUUUUUGGUAAUUUUAAAUUUUUAAAAAUUUAAAUAUUUUUUAUAGUUGUUUUGACACAUAAAUCGGGUCAUUAGCUGAUUUAAAAACUUUUUAAGAGAAAUUUGGGUUUGGGGGUAAUGAGUUAUAUAGAAUGCAAGUAAAAGUCAAGUUAAUAAAAAAAAAGUGAAAGUACCAAAGUGAGAAUUUAACAAUAGUAUAGGGACCAAAAAGUAUUAAGCCUAAAAACUAUUAUCUAAAAGCUGAGAAACUUACAGAUUACUGUUUGCCUAUUUCCCAUUUACUCGUUCAAGAAAGCUUCAAAUUGGAUUCCAAAAUUAAAUUUUCGCUUCCGAUUUCGAAGCUAUUAAUUAGUGAUCUUUUUUUUUUCCUCAAAGUUCAGUUAAUCUUUAUUCUUUCAAUCAAUUCCCUCUCAUCUCCAAUUUUUUUUUUUAAUUUUUAGGCUCUAUUUUAUAUGUUGUUUCUAUUUCAGGUCUUGUAAUUUACUACACUUCUCCAUUCACUCUCAUAAUUAAAAAAAAAUCCCUUUGGAGAGAUUGGCGAAUGCAUUUUAAAAGAAAAUUUAUUCGAAUUUUAAAUCGUUAAUAGAAAUAAUUUAAGCCGAUUUAUAUUUGAUGAAAUGUUUUUUUUUUAAAUAUGAACUUAAAUUUUAAAAUUAAUUAGAGCUUUUAAUCUUGGUUUUCUUCUUUGCAGGUUUGAGGUGAGAGGAAAGCUAUGAUGCUAAAAUUAAGCAUUAUCUAAUAAGAAUGCCGGGCAUUCCUUUAGUGGCUCGUGAAACCUCCUCGUAUGUUCUCUGGGAUUUUAAACUCAUAAUUUGAGGGUUUUAUUUUUUUCUUCUUUUAAUUUUUAAUAUUAUUAUGGCAAUAUGUUAUGCUCAUAGGUAUCUUGGUUUUGGGUUUCGCGUAUUUUCUAUCAAUGUCAAGCUAAAAGUAUGUGAUCAUGCAAACAUUGUUUUUCUCAAGGUCAUUGUGAAUGAUAUCUUGUUCUAGAGCCUUUAUGUUUGAUUAUUGUUGAUUUAUUAUAGAGUUUUUGUUUGUUUGUUUUUGUGUUGUAAUGAAGUGUGAUUUUGGAGUAUGUCUAUUUGGAUAAGUUCAUGAGUUGAGGGGUUCUCAUGUUAUCUUUCUUUCCAGCUAUUCAAGAAGCACAGAUCAAAUGUGCCAAGAAGAUUCUGGCCUGAAUUUAUAUGCUGAAGAGGAAAUUGCAGCUGAAGAGAGUCUAUCGGUUUAUUGCAAGCCUGUAGAACUCUAUAACAUUCUUCAAAGGCGCGCUAUAAGAAAUGUAAUAUUUCUGCUUCUUGUUGCUUUCGACAUUUUAUUUUUUUCAUGUAGAUUGAUUUUCAUGUUUGUUCAAGAUGUGGUGUCAUUCGACGUUGCAGACAGUUAAAAAGUACAUGCUGGUUUGAACCAUCUUAGUUUUAUUUUCAUUGGAAGAGAUUUUUCUUUAAUCUUUAACUCGGAUACUUUUUUAUAUCAAUCUACUUGUUAGUUGUGGUCAUCUUUAAAUUAUUUUUCUUUUAAUUUGCAGCCAUUAUUUCUUCAAAGAUGUUUGCGUUACAAACUUCAGGCAAAACACAAAAAGAGGUAAUGUUCCAAUGUGGUUGCAACUUGAAAGUGUUUAUGGUUGCAACUUUUAGGAUAGGCAAAUCUGUUGUAUAGAUUCUUAUGUUUGACUAUACAUAUGGUUGUUGGAAUUUGCAUCAUUUAGGUAGCAAUGACAAGUUUCUUUGUGGUAGGAGUUAAUUCUUAUUUUGUUGUGUGAUUAUCAAUGAAUUUAUUAAUUAAAUUUUGAUGAUGAUUAGUUUUUGGUUAUUGUUUUCUAAUAAUCAUGUGUUGUCUUGUUUGACUUGAUCAAAAUUUGCUAUAUACAGGUAAAUUUGAGUUAUUAACUGCAUUUUAUUUGGUUGAUAUGUAGGAUACAAAUGACAGUGUCAGUACCAGGGAUUGUCAAUGAAGGUGUACUGACACAAACUGUUUUUCCUUUAUACAUCUUGUUGGCAAGGCUAGUUUCUGAUGUUGCGGUUGCAGAGGUAGGGUGUAUCAUGUCUGUACAUUCAAAACUAAAUCCAUUAGUCUAUUUAUCUUCUUUUCUGGUAUUGUUGUACUCUUUUUUUUGUACUUCAUUUAUGAUAUAUUUACUUUUUGAACCCCACAAUGAAGUAUUCUGCAGUUUAUCGUUUUCGUCGGGCUUGUAUCUUGACUAGCUUCACUGGCAUUGAUGACAGUAAUCAAGCCCAAGUAAAUUUUAUUCUUCCUGAGAUUAAUAAGCUAGCUAUGGAGGCCAAAUCUGGCUCGCUUGCCAUUUUGCUUGUCAGCUUUGGUAUGUAUUUCAUAAAUCCCUUACAUUAUAACAGUUCAAUUUAGUAUGAAUUUUAGCUAUUAAUGUCACUUUUUCUUUCUGUUUCAUUCACAUUCUACUUAUUCUCACAGCAAAUGGAGGAUGCUGCCUUUGGGGUAGGAUACCAUUAGAAUCACUAUAUUUGUCUUGGGAAAAAUCCCCAAACUUGAGUUCGGGACAAAGGUCUGAGAUGGUUUUACCUGUUGACUUGCAGUUUUGCUUAUUGAAGGUGUGCCAUCAUAGCUUUCUGGUUAUCAUUUAAAGAAAAAAAAUCUGGGGGACUGUUCUACUGGUUGCUUAGCUAUUAUUUUAGUCCGUAUCAUAGCAAAAAAGAAUUGUUUAAGAUUCAGAGAAAGCUUUCUUGAUUGUUUUUGUACUAUGGCCAAGUCAUAAAGUAUCACUUCUAGGGCAGUGCUCCAUUUUCUAUAUUCUUCUCAAAUAUAAAAUAAUACUCUUAAGGAAUGACUCUGCAGUCCUUAGCCUCUGAUUCUUUCCUUGCUAUUUUUAUUGGGUAUAUACUUGUGAUGUUGUUCAACCAUGCCAUUCUAAGCUUGAAAAUUCAUCCUAAACUCAGCUUUAGCUGAAGCAUAUCUUGAACUCCACCUGUCUAUGUCUAAGAGUGCUUCAAUGAAAAUUCCUACGGCAGUUUAGAAGUUGGUAGAAACCAAAAAAUAUUUGUGCAACUGUAUCAAAGGGAUAUAGUGGUUGAUAGAAAUGCUAUGCUAGUAGUAUUGAGCUCUAUGUAUUUGGGAUGUUGAUGGUGUUGCUAUACCAUUCGAUGGUCAAUUAGGUUUCCCUGUACUUAUCUGGUUUUUUCUUAAGUGAUCACUUUGUCUCAAGCAGUUUUGCUUAUUGUCGAUGACUGCUUGUGUGAGUGAUACUUUAACCAUGGUACAACUUUCUUUAGAUGGCUCACUGUAACCAGUAUAGAAAAUUGCGAUGCAUGUUCAAGCACUGAUGAUUAAAGCUUAAAUAAGUAUCUGAAUUGCGGUUACUUCUAUAUUUUAUUUUUAUCCUUUCCUGCUGCAGUUGAAAUGUUCCAGCAAUUCUUCCUUAGUGGUAUGUCUCUGCUUCUUUUUCUUUUUAAAUUGACAUUUCUGACUUGUCUUCUAGAAAUAUUUUACUUAUGGCAUUUGAUUUGACUUUUUUCACUCCAAAAGAAUCAACCACUGCAGCUUCAGGUCAUCAUUUCUGCUAAGGAGGUUGGGGUAAAGGAAAAAUCUGCCUAUAAUUCAUACACAUGCAGUGGUGUUUCCUCGUCAUCGCUGCCUCAUAUUAUUGGGUAAUCCUUGUUAUAAUAACCAUUAAAAGUAGUUUUGCUCUCUGAUCAAAUCUAUUCCCCUUUCUAUGCCCUGAAAAUUUGAUAUUACCUGCUCUUUCCUGGUUGUUAAUGUGUUUGGAAAUAACCUUGUAAUUUCUUUAACAUUCUCCAAAGUGCUCUAAAUGAGGCACAUCUUACUUAGGAAAAAGCGGAGGAUGGGCAUUAGUGAUUCUAUUGGGUACUUUCAUGUUUAAUUCGAUUUACUACCAAAUGCCAAUCUACAGAUAGUCACAUUGGGUGCUUUAGACUAACUUUUGCGUUUCAAACAUAGUGUCCCCCCCCCCUCCCCCCAGCACACACACACAAAAAGAAUCAUACAAUUGAAAGAAGUAAGGAAUGUGCAUUUGCUUGAUGUGAUUUAACCUUGGUCUCUAUGUCUAUCUCUAAGACUGACAUUAUGCUGCUUUUGGUUUUAGGUUGAGAGCAGGAAAUGUCAUCUUUAAUUACAGAUAUUAUAACAAUAAGUUACAGAGGACUGAAGGUAUUAUUUCUUAGUUCUUACAUCUUUUUCUUCGGGAUAGGGGUUAAAUCUUAUACACAUUCUGGUUUUCUUGAGGUUGCAUCUUUUUCUUUAGCUGCCUGUACCCUCAAGCUAAGGAUUAUUUUCUAGAAUUUUUUUGAUUCUUCUCUCCUAGUCCUUAUUUGGUAGACAAGACACUAUGAUUAACUAGUUAAUCAUUAGGAUUUUGUUUGGAAUUUUUAUAUAAUUUUUGCAUUGUAUAUUGCUUAUUGAUUUAAUGUCAUAAAUUCCAUUUAUUUGCAGUAACUGAAGACUUCUCUUGCCCUUUCUGCUUAGUAAAAUGUGCUAGCUUUAAGGUUGUUCCUCUUGGUUCUAUUUUUUCUUCUUUUUCAUUUUGAUUCAAAUGAAAUUGUAUCCGUAUUACUUGGACAUAUAUGGUUGAUGCAUAAAUUUUUUUCUUAUAUAUAGGGUCUGAGGCAUCACUUGCCUGCAAACCAUGAUCUCUUCAAUUUUGAAUUUUGGGUUCGUAAAACUUCAGGAUCCAUGGUGGUAUUCUGAUAGUUGAUGCAUGCAUACCAAAAAUUCUAAUUCAUAGGUACUUUGUAGGUAACUGAAGAGUAUCAAGCUGUUAAUGUUUCAGUCAAAACUGAUAGUUGGAGAUCUGAGGUCAGAGUAUUUUCUUGACAAGACUUGCAAUUCUGUAUUGGUUUCUGAUUUUUUCUUCUUGGCUAAACGAACUGAUUUGGGCUAAUGUUAAUGCAUCUGGCCCCACCCUUUUUAAAAUUGUUUCUUCAAAUUCACAGGGAAAAGGUUACUGUAAUACUUAAAAGUUCAAGUUUUAUUUUUUGCCGUGAUUAAGGUGAAAUUUGCUAGUAUGGGGUGACUCAAUAUUGAAUCUGCCACUGUACUUUUAUUUAGUUAUAUGGUGAAUCUGCCACUGUACUAUAACCAUAUAAAUGUGCCUAUUUUUGUACAUCUUGUCCAUGUCACUGUUCUAGUUUACAUGUGUAUGUUUUCUAUUCAGCUUGUUGCAGAUGGUGUCGAUCCUAAACAACAGACAUUUAUCUAUUAGUAAGUUAUUUAAUUUGCCAUUUACAUGCUAGUGAGUUUCUUUCCUCAUCUUAUUUCCACGAACCGAAGUUGGUAGCUCAUACGUAUGCACAGCUCAAGACGUAGACGACAGAAGGGCCUAGUUCAAAAUGCAAGGCAUGUACAUCCUGUUUUCUUAGAAUCAAAUCUGCCAGCAGGAGGCUGUGAGCUUCUUGACAAGGCUCAUGGUAUUACAUUUUUAUAUACGACCAUUUACUUGUUACUUUUUCCUUUUAUAAAAAAUAUAACUUUUAGCGAAAUUUACUAUAUACUUUAGAAAUGGAAGGUUGUCUAGGCUAUCGGAUUCAAAUACUGAUGAAAGGGCUCUUGUCUCAGGUGGUAACAUUAUACAAAAUGGUAUAAUGGGUGCUCUGGAGUGUGCCGAACAUCUUCCAUCCAGUUCCAAUGUUGCAGGGGUUUCAGGCACUGCAGGACAAUCAUAUUCUGAUUCUGAACAUGUUCAAUCAGUGUCCGGAAACAAUCUUGGCCCCCCUGCCUUGCAAUUUGCAAAGACAAGAAAAAUAUCUAUGGAACGUUCUGAUCCCAGAAAGUAUGUCCUGAAUUUUUUUUUUUAAUCUAUAUAUUCAGUGUGUUCUAAUUCAUUCCAAAGCUGUGCAAUGGUUAAAUGCGUUUCUUUCUUUUCAUCAGAGCAUUGUUUAUGGAAUUUGUUCUGUGAAUUUAAAGGCAUUGCUUGUCAAUUUUUUGUACAUUUCUACACUAGGUAUUUUUUGGUGCUAAUGUAGUAGCUACUGUUGAAUGAUUGUUUUUCUAGAGAGUGUUGGUCUCAGAACUGUUGGGGUGUAAAGUACUUUAUCUACUACCCAAAGUGUCUAGUGGCCACUGCCAUUCCUGAUUCAGGCAUAAAUGUUCUAAAUCCUGUAUCCAUCAUCUCCCUCCCAGUUUAGUAAUAGAACUGACAAAUAACAGUUGUGACCAACUAGUUAAAAGAUGGAAGUGUGUCAUAAAAUUGAUGUGCUCAUUUGGACUGGUCUUGUUUAGACAAUAUGCUUCCCUCUCCACCCUUGCCCUAUUUUCUGCUAUGACAAAGGGUUUAUUGUUGAACCAUGAAUAUGGGUUUGAUUUUAUUAUUUUCUCUGUGUUUUCAGCCGUACUUUCCUUCGGAAGCGACAGUUUUUUCACUCACAUAGAGCACAGGUGAUUGAAAACUUUGUAAUUGGUGUUUGUAAUUUGGUUCUGGGAAAUGCGAUGAUAUCCAUAAUGCAGUGUGAAAAGAAGAGAGAAAGAGGAAAAAAGAAAAAAAGAAAAGUUGCUUGCUGCUGCUUACACUAAUCACACAUACACACAUUAACAACUAAUAAGAGAGUGGGUCUAGUUGUGGCUUAGCUAGCAUGUGAAAUGGACUGAGGACUGUAGUUUUGGUUUUCUCCUUGAAUUAUGUUGUGUGGUACAGCUCAAUAUGCCUUUGCAUUAGUUUUUGUCAAGAGAUGUUAAGAAGCUUAGUAAUAGUUGACUAUGAAAUCCAUUACUGACAAUGUAUACAUCAAAAUCUGUGAAACUCUACAUCUCUGCUUGAAGCCAAUGGCGAUAGAUCAAGUGACGUCUGACAGAGACAGUGAGGAUGAGGUCGAUGACGACGUUGCAGAUUUUGAAGAUCGAAGGGUAUGUUUAUUUUAUUUGUUUUCUCUUCCGUAGUCUUUCAAUGUUGAUGCUUUUGUGGAAGGACAUAUUGUGUUGGAUUUUGGUCGGUGGACAGCUAAGAAUUGAAGGGUGAUGUAGUUAUCAACAAGUUAAGGAGUAUUUACACAAACUUACAUGACAACCAGAAGUAAAGUAACCAUUUUGACAUUAGUAGAUCCCUUUCCAAGGAAUAUAUAAAUGGUAUUUGAUGAAAAGAUAUGUAUAGAUUUUAAUCUCAUUAAAAUUCCUUUUGGUACAUUAUUGAACUGCGUGACUCAAUAUCUGCGAUGUAGACAAGCUAGGAACUGAAGUCAGUGAACGAACAACUAAUAAUAAGAUAUAAUGCAGUAAUUACUAAUGUUUACAGCCCAUUACAAAAAUGACUCCGAGUGUCUGAAGUGCCAGGGUUGGUCAUUAGGGCUAAUGAAUUGAAUCUUGGUGAAAUUGUUUUUGCAUUUACAAGAUUGCAUUAAGAUGCUCUAGCAUGUUGCAGAUGCUUGAUGAUUUUGUUGAUGUAACCAAAGAUGAGAAGCAAAUAAUGCAUUUGUGGAAUUCAUUUGUGAGAAAGCAAAGGUAAUCUUGUCUUUCUGUUUUACUUCGGGUUUUUGCUUCCGUUUCUUUUAUUCUCACUUGGAACUAGUUGAAAUCAAAUCAUAAUUGUCAUUAUAAGUUCUUCCCGCCUCUGUCUGUAAUUAUGACAGUUUGUUUUAACACGUUUAAACCGACCUAUAUGAUGCCCACGAUGUUGGUCUUUUUUGUGUUCCUUUGGUAGUUUCUUCAUUUCACUCGUAGUUGAAUCGAGUGACUCAUUAGAUCUUCAUUUGUUUCUCCUGUUGUUGCUGUUUCAACGAUGGCAGGGUGUUAGCAGAUGGUCAUAUUCCAUGGGCAUGUGAAGCAUUUUCAAAAUUACAUGGGCAGGACCUUGUCAAAGCCCCGGCUCUCAUCUGGUACAUCGUCUCUCUUUUGUUUCUGAUUAAAAUUUAUGUCAUUUAAGCCCUAGCACUUCAGCUUGUCUAUUUUCCAUGAAUUGUAGUUUCUUUCUCUUGUCUGAUUGUACAUACUCAUCUUCCUAGUGUUUCUGAUCGGCUGAUGUAAUAAAAAACGAUCCCACAUCGACUAGCCAAGGAUUUGAUUCAGGCUUUAGAAAUCAAGGGCCAUCCUUCCCUAUCGAGACCCGUUUUCUCAAAAGACAAAAACCUAGUGGGAGAUCUUUAGACCUCAAAAAACAAACAAUACCUCAUAACGGUCGCAGUUUAACUAUUCUUACAUUAAUAAUGUUUAUGAGAUUACACUUUUGUUGUCCCGUUUUCAACAUAACAUCGGAUGUAUGCUUAAAUUCGAAGAUCAUAAUAAACGUAUUACCUACCUAUGUUGAAUUGGCAGGUGUUGGAGGUUAUUCAUGACCAAGUUGUGGAAUCACGGUCUCCUCGAUGCACGAACCAUGAAUAAUUGUAAUAUCAUUCUACAACAGCACAAAAAGAAUGGUUCGGAUUUGAUAAAAGGCUAAAGAGACCAUUGGUAAACAAUCGUGAUGCUGAAAUGGUGCUCUCAGCCCCACCCCAACACUUUUGUAUAACGGUGGUCGACUCUAAAGUUCUUUACAUGUCAUUAAGCCAAGUAAUUGCUUUACUUAUUUUGUACAAUCAGCAGGUAUAAUUCAUGAUACUUUUAUUUUCUUAAUGUUCUUAUAAUUAUUUAUUUGAUAUUUAAAAAGAAUUAGGUAUCAAGUAUCUAUAAUUUAAACAUAUAUAUACACUUUGGAGAUAUUGAAAUCAUACUACUACCAUCGCAUCUAAAUUCCUGUGUACUUAUACUUCUGGGUUGCUGGUUAUUACCACCGCAGAAGCAAAAGCAAUGAAGAAAGUUAAAAGUGCGGUCGAAAAAUGUUUUUUCAUCUAAACACAAAAGCUGAAAAGCCGAGAUUUAAGUGUUUUAGUUUUUAUAUUUGAAAGUAAAAAUUAUUAAAAUAUUUUUAUUUAUAUUAACAAACUACAUCUUUUCGUACUUUUUUUGUCUCACUUUUCUAAAGCACUUUUGUAAAACUGGCCCUUGACCAGAUAAUCUUUAUUUAUAUCAACAAAUAACUGAGUUUCACUGUAUGGUACCUAUAAAUAUCCUCUGCCUUUCCAGAGUAUUUUUCUCCUCUUUUUAAUUGAUGAGUUCUUGGACGGUACUAGCCAUUACAACAAAUAUUCUUUCAUUUAUAACAAUAUAAAUCCAAUCUAAUAUAAAGCUCAUCAUUGAUGGCAAAAUUGGUACAUUAAUGCUAAAAUGACAAUGAAAUGAACAUAGUUCAAUAUAUUAGGAGUUAGGUUUAGGAAUGCUUAUGUGCAAGUGUGGUAUGCAUUGUUACCCCAUCAAAAUGGCUAAUUUUGGCUAUUCAUUAAAUGCAAGCAAUGGAAGGUUUUGUAUGUUCAAUUAAUGAUUUAUUAGAUAAAAAUUUUCAUAUAAUAUUUAUAUCUUAGAGAAAAUCAAAUGAGGAAAACAAAUCUAAUUGCUAUAUGAAAAACAUUAUUUGCAGCAUGCCUUAACCUGCCAUCCAGUAAUUCAAAACAUACACGAUUUUUAGAUUUCAACUCAUUGAAAUAAAAUGACAAAUAAUGCGAUGAAAAGACUAGUUACUACAAACAAAAUGUUAAGAACAACUUUGAAAAUUAUUUAGUAACCGGUAACACAGAUGAAGCUGCGAUGUAUGUUUCGGAUUCGAAGGCUUCCAAGAAGGAUUGUGCGAAGAUCAAAAUAUGGAGUCCACCCGUGGAAGGUUCGUUGAAAUUCAAUGUUGAUGGUGCAUUUAAGGGUGAUGUGUAUCAUGGAGGGUGCGAAGGUGUUUUAACGGACUCGAAUUAAAUACUAGUGUGCAUGUGUGUACUGAAAUGACUAAUUCAUAUAGUAAAUCAUUCUAAUUUGAAGCCUGGGAUAGCUAGCUUCUAUCAGUAAAUUCUAUGUAUAAUUUCAGCAACAUCUCAAUACACAGUAAUAGAAUUUUUAAUUAACAGCACAAAAUCAUCACCACCAUGAUCAUCAUCAUCAUCAUGCAAUGCUUCUGAAAGAAUGAAAUGUCAAAGUACUCGAAGCAGGAUAUUCGAAAGGUAUGCACCCUCUGGGUAGGAUGGGUCAAUGGGAUGAUCACAGCCGGCUCCGCUCUGCCUUAGGACUGUGAUUUUUCUCUCGGCCAUUGAGGCGGCGCCCUGGUUUAGAGAACAAACUUGGAAUUUAGGAGCUCUUCAUCCAUAUUCCUACUUCUGUAGAGCAAGCUACGUAUUUCUCAACUUUUGUGUUUCUAGAUUUAUCAUUGUUUAUAUAAAAAUGAAGGCUAUCAAAAGCUAGUUCUUGCUUCAUUGCUUCCGAGAACAAAUAUUAGAUGAUAAUAAAUUUCCAACUAUCUAGUCUUGUAACCUGCUUCGAUCUGGCUCUUAAUUGGAUUAAAUUCAUAUGUAGGGGUGUAAUCGUGUCAAGCCAAGCUGAGCCUGAAUACUAGCAAGCUCGAGCUUCACUCAAAGCUCGAAACUCGAUAUUCCAACUGAACUCGACUGAACAUCUAUUCUUAAGCUCGAAUUUGGCUCGAGAUAUAAUCAAGCUCCUCAAGCUCGAGCAAGCUCGUUUAUCAAUUUUUGUACUCAAGCUUGAACUUGAGCUCAAUUAAUCGUAUGUUCGAGCCCGGCUCAAUAAUAAUGCUUACGGUUAAUAAUAUACUAAGGGCAGUAAUGUAAUUUAAUAAUAUUUAAAACAUAUGUUAAAAAUGAGAAGAUCGUAAGGCUUGCAAGCCGAGUAUUACUAAGCUUGAAGUCAACUUGAUUGAUAGCUAGCGCUCGAGAUCAAGCUCGAGCUCGGCCCGAUAAUUACCAAAUCGAGUUCGAAUUCUUUUCAAAUCAAACUCAAAUAGUUUGUGAGCGCCAAUGUCUCAUUUUUCAGUUUAACAAAUAAAAUUUUUAUUUAUAAAGAUCUUGGGAUAUGGAAGGUAUAUAAAAUCUCGCUAUGUUCAAAAGGGAAACAAAAAUAGUAAAAAGAUAAAGCAGAAAACUUGCAUUACCUAUCCUCAAGUGGAAGAAAGUGCCUUUUUAAGGUAUUACUAAAAUAGUGACAAGGCAAUGUGAAUGGUAACAAAUCAAACCAAUUUCUUUUCUUGUAACAAUGCAAAUUUUGUAGAGUUACGCAUACAAUAUAUAUUCAAGGCAUUGUCAGAUGGUUUCUAGUGCUCAAGAAAGUACACAGAAAAAUCAUUUACCUGAAGAGUGCGCAAGAAUGUCCCACUUUGAGUCAUCGCUCCUGAACAAGAACAGGUCAUGAGAAGGCCACCUCUUCUAGUUAUUUUCAUUGCUAGUGAGUUUAAGUUUCUAUACAUGCCUGAAGCACUUUGGAGAACCUGGGUAUUAUUAGCAUCCAAGAGAAACAUGAAAAGCAUAUAUGAUGUAUUAUUAGACUUAUAGUCACAGCUUAAUAUUCAUAUAUGAGAGAUGCCGGAUUCGGGAUGCAUGAGAAGUUUUACAUGUUCAUUUGUGUGACAGUAUAAGUGAAAAUGUAGCAUAUUCUUGUUUAUUAAUUAAUUUGGAAAAACAGCAAAGAAAAAUUUAUUUGAUUUCCUCCCAAAACAAAGAAUAAGAAAUUAAUUUCGACUAAACAUAAGCUGCCUUGAGCUACUCAUGCACUUGAUGAUAUUUGUAUAAUAUUUCAAAUAUGAAUUACUAGAUAGGAGAUAAAUGGUUAAAAUAUACUCUAAAUCCCUAUACUCUUCCUACAUUUGGAAUUUAGUCCCUCAACAUUUUAGAUUUCAAAAUUCAGGUCCAAUUAUUAGCAUAGUUAAAAUUUUCUAUUAAAUUUACCGGUGUGACAUUUUGAAAUUUAAACAAAAAAAAACCCUCACUUGAUGGCCAUGUAAAAAAUGACGUUAUAAUGAACUUAAAUUUAACGAUGUUAACAAUUGGACUUGUAUUUUUAAAUCUGAAAAGUAGAGGAAUUAAAUUCCUAAAAAUAAAAAUAAAGGGACUAAAUUCCAAAUUUAGAAAGAGUGAAGGGAACUGUAACAUAUUUCAACCUAGAUUAAUCAGCAGGCAUACAGAUUAGUCUGUCUGCAUGAAUAUGCCUGAACGUGUAAACCAGAAGUCUGGUCACCUUCCAAUGUUAUCUAAAGGGAUAUUAGAUAGUGCUAAAUGAUAUAUAUAUAUUAGUAAUACCUUUCUGCUUGGUGCAAGUUUUGGAGGAUCAAGAAUAACUAUAUCCCAUGAGUCAUUUCUAGAAAGAGCACCCUUCAUAAAUACAGUUGCAUCUUCUCUCAAAAAAGAUGUCUUUUCAGGGUCCAGAUUGUUGAGAGCAAUAUUUUCUCUGGCUAGCUCUAGUGCAGGCAAUGAUGUAUCAACACCUAAAAGAAUAUCAGACAAAAUCACAUUAACAGUCCCAGAAAAUAUCUGCAAUCAUUGAGAAAGAGUUUUGAAGUAUCUACGUAGAUGUACCUUAUGACAAGGAAUAUCGAGAUGGUUAAUAUGGAAGCAACUUAAGGUCAAAAACUAACUCAAUUCAACUUAGCUAUACUUCGAUUCCAUACCAGUUGGAUUCUACUAUAAGGAUUUUCAUGGCCGUCUUCUUCAAAUUUUAAGAAAUUCAGCUAUUUGGCAAAGAAAAGCGGCAAAUCCAAAGUCUAGGAGAUAGACUAUGACCGGAUUUUGGCACUACUGGAUCAAAUACAUAAUUUCGAGCAGAUAGUGAAAAUGACCAAAUUUGAGUAAGAAAUUACAUUACCAUGAUACUAGGUUAUGAUAGUUCUACUUUACAAAUUUCUAAAUAAAUUGGCCUUGCACUAUUAUUAGUUGGCUGCAAUUUCUAAAUAAUCAUGCCAGGCAUCCUUGACAACUAUUAAUUAAGCAAAAACAUUCAGUACAAGUAGGCAUUUAGCAAACAAUUAACAAAAAUCUCGGCAGUCACGUACCGGUAAUACUCAUAGCACCUCCUUUUGCGGCAUUUAGGGCAAAACCACCACUAUAGCAGCAAACAUCUAGAACUCUCUGACCAUAGGAAAUCGUUGACAAGAACAUUCGAUUUUCCCGCUGAUCAGCAUAAAAUCCCGUCUUUUGACCCUCCAAUGAGAUUGCAUAAGAUAUUCCAUUUUCUAUAACCUAAUAUAUAAAUGUAACAGACACCUUAUAAGACUCAUGUUAAACUAUGGCACUAAAACAAAAACUGAAGGACAAAGAGCAAUAGCUGUAUGAAGCAUUUCAAAAAUCCAAAGCAAAAAGGGUGACCACAGUCACUUAUCUAGAAAAAUGACAUUUCAACAAAUGAGAAAAACUGAAGUCUAAUGAUUGUCUUCAUUUUAUAAAUGAGAGAUGCAAUCCUGGAUGGAGAAUCCUCAAAUGAGAACGUUCAGAAAAUCUACAAGUGCAGAUUAAUGCCAAUAAAAAGCUUUAUAAUUUGAAAUUUUAUGAGGUCACAUAGUAUUAAUAAAAAAACAAAGAAUUAAUGUUGUAGUUAUCUAGCAUGAAAAAAUAAUUCAAUAAACAAUAUCCUCAUAUUGGCUCCAGCUCCGGCUAUCACAAUUAUGGCAUGGGACUUCCAGAAGUUGGUAGCUUCUUUCAGAUAAAGUAUAUAACAACAGCAAAGGCAUAAAAGAGCCAACUCAAUGGCAUAACAAACCACAGUUUGUCCUUGCAAUCUAUGCAUGAUGGUAGCAGUCAAUUGGAAUAUGUACAAAGGGAAUAAUUCUUCUUAUGCAUGUUGUCAGUCAUAGCUAAAUCUUAAAUGAAGUACACAUAUUUUAUUAGCAAGAAGACAAGUACAUGGAGAACUUUCAUGGUAAGCGUGACUUCAAGCUCAAAUUUUCUAGUUUUUCAAUCACCAUGGAAGAUGUGCAUCAGAAACCAAUUAAAAUGUGCAGGGUGCAAUAUUUCAAGGGAUUUCUACCUUUGUUCUCUGGGGACAAGUGGAUGGAUGCAAUUCUUUCAGAUCUGCUGCUUCUAUCCCUACUUUUAAAUUUUCAACAGCAGGUCUCCAAUGCAUAUGAUUAAUCUCGUCAAUUCUUAUAUAAUAUUGUAUCAGCAAGGACACAAGUAUAUGAACUUUCAUGAUAUGAAAGCAUAACUUCAAGCUCAGACUUUAUAGCUUUUCAAUCACCAUGGAUGUAGAAUGUGCAUCACAAACUUAUUAUUAAUGUGCAGUGUGCAAUAUUUCAAGAGAUUUCUACCUUAGUUCUCUGGGGACAAGUGGAUGGAUGCAAUUCUUUCAGAUCUGCUGCAUCCAUUCCUUCUUCUUUUAAAAUUUCAACAGAAGGUCUCCAGUGUAUAUGAUUAAUCUCAUCAAUGCUACUGAUGCAUGCUUUAACUUUUGAUUUGUAUUUCUCAACCCAAGCAGCAGAUGAUGCUACCACUGCUAAAUCUCCAAAGACAUCGACAAUUAAUCCUGACAAUCUACAGUGAAGCAGUCACAUCCAAUUUGCAAAUGAGAUGUUAAGCCUCCAGAAACAGUUUGGUAGGAAUCAGAAAUGAAUAUGAGAAAUAACGGUUGAUAUCUGAGUUACUUUGACCCUUCUGUUCUCCUUUUCUCUAUUUCUUUUUCUUUUCUUUCUUCCUCUGUUUUUUCUCACUGCUGAAACAGCCUCUUGACAGUCUCUUCUCUCUUUCUUCCCUUCUAUCUCUUUUCAAUUUUCACAAACUAAUGAAAAAGAGCUUGUAGCCUUAGGAUUCAUUAGAGAGACACCCAUAUCUCUUUUUAGGUUUUGAUAAAAUUCAGCUCGUCUUUAUUUUAUUCAUCAUCUCUUUAAAUACAAAAUGCUUAUUACAGUAAUUAAAGGAAGUCAUAUCAAUCUACAUAAAGUCCUACCAAAAACUUCUUCCAUUCAAAGAUUACUACCAAAUAACUUCUACUAAACAUCCACAACAAAGAUUCUAUGGGAUGUUGGUUAAGUUGGGUUUUCCAACAAAAUAACUAACUACACACCCCUAUAGAAAAGAGUACACACUUCGAAUUUAUAACUAUAUUCAACACUCACUGCUAUGCAAUGGUAACAUGGAGCCGUUUUUUAUAUCCAAACUCUAAGAGAAAAAUUAUAUAGGCAACUGUCGAGCAUGCAUAUGUUGUUACCAACAGCAUUUUAUUAAAUGUCAUUCCCCUUUAAAUCUUGAAUCAAAAAGUAUAAUUCAAAGUUAUAGUUACCUGUCUCCUUCACUAUUGACAAGACGAUAUGCAUUCGUAGUGGCCGAAGGAAGCCCUAAUCCACGACGUAACUCUACAGCUGCAUUGAUUCUUGUUUCAAGAAGUUUCUCCAUGUCAAGUGCACAAGAAGGAUCUCUAUAUGACAUAAUUUAAGGAAGUUAAUCGCCUUUGGGUGUAAGUAAAACCUAACUACAAAACCCUGCCCUUUUUUGAUUAACUACCUUGUUGCUUCCUCUUCUAGUUGCAUGAGCCGAACACAGAACAUGGAAACCGAAUUAUACAAACCCCAUCCAAUAGGUUUCUCUGUCCCAUCUGCUACCAACACAAUAUCUCCAGUCUUAGGUGGUGGUCUACCAAUUAUUCUAUCAAUUGCUCCACUAUAAACCAUUGGGCUUCCAUCCUUGAAUAGUUGUGUCUUACCCUUCUUUAGAAUAACCUUUGCAACACCUAUUAAAGCCAAACAAAAUACAACAAGUGUAGGAAAUUUAAAUCAAUUAACAAGCCCUUACUACAAGUUCUGUACACGUCAGCUUUCUCAAGGACUAAGGAAGAGCAUAAACAAUGAGACAACAAUCCAACACAAGACUCAUGAAAUCACUUGAGUAUCAGUUUUUUAUUACAUAGCUCCAUUUUGGUUUCUGUUUCCUGCCAUUGUCCUACAAUGAUUAAUUCAUAAUGAAAAUGAUAUUAGUGAUGAAAAAUUGACACAAUCUAAUCUAACCACCUUCAUCGCAUAGGAAGAAUCACAAAGGAAGAUAAUAUUAUCUACAUUGGACAACUUCUUACCAUACUUCACUGUUGUCUAGUAAAUUAAGUAUUUCGCUGAAUCUGACUAACAAGGUGAUGUCUAAAUGCUCAAGUUUUAUUUUAUUUUUUUUAUUUACUAUUUUCAAUGUAUAUAUCCAUGCUAUUUAAUUAUUUACAUUAUUUAUUUUAUAAAUCCUUACUUUUUAAUUUGGAUAUUCAAUAGUCAUAUUCUUGAUGUAUUUUACAUUAUUUAUUUACAUUGAUGAUGGCAUAGUCUCAUAUUCAAUAGUCAUUUUGUAAUCCUAUUGUGAUUUCAGCUAAACACAGUUUUUUAGGAUUGAGAUGUAUUUUACAACUUUUUUGCAGCACAAAUUGCCUUCCUUUUUCUUAGCUGAACUAUAUUAAUUUAUAAUGAUAUUUCCUAUUUCAUGUAAACAGUUUUUGUUACUAUUUUUUAUUGGAUUCUUAUCCCAUACACUGCCAGUGGAGUAAAAAAACUCCACAAGCGGGUAUAGGAUGAUGCCAUUUGUUUUUGGGAUGUAAUAAAAUAAUAAUUAAAAAGGACACUUGGCAUCAUCCGAAACCCGCUUGUGAAGUUUUUUUUAAGUAGCCUUUUUUAUUUACUACUUCAUGCAAACCUAGAAACAUAUACAUUAUUUUAGUUUUCUUUUCUUUAAGCUUAAGAUAAAAAGAAAAAGGACAAAAAAUUGAGGAAAAGUUCUAUGUAUUUUGUUCGGGCAGCAGACUUUGUUUAUGCUACCAUUGUUAAUGAUCCUUGGAGAUUCUUAAUCAAUUUUAUAUUGACUAGGCAAAUAAGAUAAGGAAAAGAAUGCCUGACGAACUUGUAGUCUGCUUUACCCUUUUUUAUGUGGCAUUUAUCUCUUACAUGCAAUUAGAACCAGACUGAAGAAACAUCAGAGACCCUUCUUAUAUUGUCAAAAGAAAUGCAUGAUUGCAAAAUGGACAUUCCCCACAAUAGACCCUAAUAAAUACGAUGGUCCAUGGAUUUCAUAAAAAGAUAAUGCAAAAAAGCACGAAUGAGGCAAGUUGUUUUCUACAUUAUAUCGAAACUUCCAAACAUGGAUUUGGACUUGCACUUGCUCCUUUCUUUCUUCAAGAAAGUUAAAGAUACAAAAAUGCUGACAUGCAACCAAGCGCACUGAUUUUUCUUAAGCCAGUCAAAGAAAUGUAAUUUUCAAUAAGAAAAAGUUAAAAGGAAAUGUUCAAAGCAAGUGAAAGACAAAGCAAUUCAAUCAAUUCAUAUUGCAAAUUUGGAUUUAAUACUAUGUUACUCGGAUUCGGGUAUGAGUGCGGAUACAGAUAUCAAUAUGUAUCCAACACGGGUGUGGUUAGAUUUUUCUAAGUUUCUCCAUGUUUUUGAAGAUCCUUGGAGGUCACAUCCCCAUACCCAAGUGUCAAUUGGAAGACUCCACUAAAAAAUAAGAGUCCAAGCAACAUAAAUUUAAUAUCUCACUGCAAAUUUUCUCGUUUUGUUUGCUACUCAACUUGCCCCCCAUCCCCUUCAAAUGUGUUAAAACAAUGAAGUGUAAACAGUAAAAAACCAAAAUUGUAGAGGGUAUUUGAUUAAACCAGGAAAUUGGUCAAAAUCUAAGGUACUCGAAGUUCGAACAUAAUAGAUCCAUAACAAGCUAAAAUUACUAUUCGUUUAAUCUUUACCAUCCAAAGUCUUUUUUUUUUCUUUUGCAUCAGAAAAAAUACCAAAAAAAGAAGGAAGAACAAUGCACCGAAAAUUUAAUCAAUCUCCUCUAAGUCAAUCAAAACAGCUAGACCAAUCCAAACCUGAUAGCUUUACAAAUAGUCGAAGAACAAAGAAAGAACUGGUAAAAACGAAACGGAAGCAUCAGCAAACAGAAAAUAAGGGAAGAAUGAAGAACCUGCCUCUCAAGAAAAUGAAAUGCCUAAAAGAUGAAAGCAUUGUAGCUUGAAAUUAAUCAGAAACAAGUAAUUGGUCGCAGAGAGUUUGUCUUUGGAAGAAACCAACGUACCUUUGGGUUGAGAAGAAGCAAAACGCUGAAGGGAAGAGAACGGCGGUGGCGGUGGUGGUGGUAGUGGGAGGUGAGCGUGAGAACAGGAGAGACACUUCAUAAGGCGGGCUUGAAGCUGCUGCUGCUGCUGCAUGCUUCUUUCCACAAUAUUAUCGAGUCAGGAUUUGGUCCGGGUAUCUAAUAUAGUUUUGUUAUAUUUAUAUAUAUGUUUUAAAGUAUAAUUAUAUUUUAAUAAAUUUAUUUAAGAUAUGAAAUUUAAAUUUAGUAAUAAAACAAAAAAAAUAUUUUUUUUAUUUUUUUAUAUUUGAGUCGGGUAUUUUAAUUUAGGUGUUGUUUGUUUAAAAAUUAAGUACGUAUUUCAUAAAUUAAAAAAAUUAAGUCUUGAAUUUUUAGUAUUGAUUAUUUAAACUUCAAAUAUAGAUCUUGAACGAUUAGAGGUGUUCAAACAGGUAACCGAUCGAUUAACCGAAUUGAAUUUGUAUUAAUCGAAUCAAUCGAAUUUUUUAAUCCUUUAACUAUUAACCGAAUCAAAAUAUUUCGAUUACUUCGGUCAGUUAACCGAAUUAAUUGAAAUUUAUAUUUUUUUGUUAAAACAAAUAUAAAACAUAUAAAAAAUAAAUUUAUAAAGUUCAUUUGACUAGAUUAACUGAAUUAACCCAACAACUAAUAGUCUAAUACAUAUUAUAUAUAAUAUUAUUUAUUAAGUUCAGUUAAUCAAGUUAAUUACCUAAUUUUGAAUUGAAUUAACUGUUAACCGAAAUUUUAAAAAACUUUUAACUGACCUUUGACCAAACUAGAUCGAUUAACCGACCAAUUAACUGAAUUAAAUCAAUUCAGUGGAUUAAUUCAGUUUUAACUACAAUGACAGAUUUUGAACAAGAGAUUUAGAGUUUCUCAAGUCUCUUUGGCAGCCAGUUGCUUAGCCAUUGAACAAUUAGUCGUCACCCAUCUUUGCUACUCCUGCUUCGACCAUGAUACCAAUCAUCAGUUAUUUUUUCGAAAUAAUAAAGUUUUUUCGUUCAAGUGUUAGCCCAUGCUUUGGCUUUACUUAGUGAUAUAUAUAGAGCUCGAGUAGUAACGAUUUGAUUUUUCUAGUCCUUAGUUUUUUGGUUUGAUUGAAUUUUCAUAAGAAAUGUCUGGAUUUUCAUUACACAUGUUUGAUUUAAGUCAUCUACGAAGUUAAAGAUCUAUGUUUAGCUGUAUUAAAGUUUUUUUCUCUUAAAGGUCGAGAGUGUCAUAUAGUGAGAUUUGAAAAUACGUGUCACCCAACAAGACUUUCUAAACCUCAAUGAUGUUGAAUUGAUAUAAUUUACAAAUGAUACAUGGUUGGGUUCUUAUCAUUUGUUAGAUAAUAAAAAUUGACGAGAUAGAACUAUCUAUUGAAGUGAUACGAAACAAGUAUGAGCGGCAUAUAUCAAAACUCUAUUAGCUUAUUAUUUAAAAUAGAAAAUAAUAUUAAAGUAACGGCAAAAUUAAACAAAACCUUCCAAUAAUAUAAAGGAUAACAAUAUGCAUGAUAAAGAAAACUUUUUUAGCCCUUCUACCAAUGCAAUCAAUAAAGAGAGCUCUAUAAAUAAUACUAAUAUAAAAAUUAAAAAAAAAUUUGGAUAGGUGAGCUGAAAAAAAAGAAAUUAAACCAUAAAUCUAUUCAAAUUUUAUUUUUUAUACUUAGAACUAUUCAUAAUCUCUUCAAAACUUUUAAAUAGAAGGAUAAUAUGUUUCGGCAUACUCAAACUUACAUUCUCUUAUAUUGGCAACAAUGCUAAUGCAAAUGAAACUAAGACUCGAUCAACUAUACAUAUUCUUGUAAUAGAGUUUGAUUUAUAAAAUUUCUAAAGGUCAAAAGGAGAGAGAGAAAAUGGUGAAAGAAACAAUAAGAAAGUGUUAACAUUGUGGACAUAAUGGCCAUAAUUCAAGAACAUGAAAUGGAAAAGGAAGUGGUGUUAAGCUAUUUGGUGUGAACAUAGCUGUUGUUGUUGCCAUGGAUGAAAAUUUGAUGAAGAAAGGCUUGAAUGGGGAAUUUACGGUCCCAUAACAUUGGAGAAAAUUAAAACAACAAUGGUGGUGGUUGUGGAAGAUGAUGAUGGGUUUUUGUCUAAUGGAUAGAUUCAUGAAAACAGCCCAUGGAAGGAAAACAUGUAAUCUACUUGCACUCUUCUUUGCUUGUUUAGAAAUUUGAUUUAUUUCAGGAUUUAGGAUUAAAUUUGUUCAGUUUUAUUUUUUUAAAGUUUUUUCUUAAAAGAUUUAUUUAUUUAUUGAAAAAAAAUUCACACAGCGGUUCGUAGGACUCCAGUCCUCUAAUAUAGAAAAUUUUUCAUUUAGUGUAUUUAAAAUUUUUAAAAUUUUAAAUUAAUAAAAGUAAAAUUAUUUUCUUUUUAAUAUUGAGUAAAACAAUAAAUUUUUAAAUAUUACAACCUACAGGAAAAUAUAUAUGUCAUUCUCACUAAUUUUUUUAAAAAAAUUAUAAACUUUUUAUAUUUUUUAAUAGUGACCUGUAACAUAAUGUACACAUAGAUUGCCAUAUCAACAUCAUUAAAAAAUUAAUAUUUUGGUCGAUAUCUCUGUUAAAAAAUAUUUUUUCUUCAAAUGUUAAUGGUCAAAUUUAACUUUUUGAAAAUCAAAUUGCCAAAAGAUACAUAUUAUUAUCCUAUGCACUGCUAAUGAAGUAAAAAGACUCCACAAUUGAUAUUUUUUUAAAUACAUUUAUGAAGUUUUUUGUUGCAUUAACAGUAAUUACCAAAAUUAAAUCAAAUUGUUCCAAUGUAAAAGCUCUGAUUUUGUUCUUUGUUGUUGUCACAGGGGAGAACAAUUUUUGUUUGUUAUAUAUUUUGGAUCUGAAGUUAAGACAAAGACACAGAAAAUCUUGUCUUGCCGACAGGACACCACCAAAAUGUUUGGAUCUUACGGUAACAUCCCAAACAUUCCGAAGACAAACUCAAGUCCAUAUAAAAAGGAUGACUAAAAAAAAGUUAAUUCAUUAAUAAUAUCAAAUUACAGAGAAACAGGGGAUCCCCAAAAAGAAUAGAGUGAAAAUAAAAGUUCCCCAAAAAAACUACAACUUUUCCCACGAAACAAACAGACCUCUUAAUAUCAUAAAAACCCAGAAACUAAACAGUAAACCCAUUUUUCCCAAUACCAAAAAAAAAAAACCUAUUUUUUAUAUUUUUAAAUUUUAAGUGUAUCAAUGAAGUGUUUCCCAUCAGCAAUAUCAUUAUUUGCAAGAAAAUCCAAGAAAUCCCUAAAACUACUUUCUUUAUACCUCUUUGGAUUUUGUUCAUCGAUAAGUUCAUUAGCGGUUUCCAUUUUAUCAUCCAUCCCCAAACUAUGUAAACUUGCAAUGGAAAUCCUAGUUUUUUCACUGUUCAAUGUAGCCCUAUGAACCACACUUUUGUAUACCCCAUUGCUCAUCACUUCAAAAUGGUCACCUAUAUGAACUUGCAAUGCACCAUGAAGUUCAGGGACCAUUUUCCAAUUUCCAUCAUCAGUGUCCAAUAUUUCAAGACCUGUUGAGCUUUGUAAGAUAAUGGUUAAACAAGUGUAGUCUGAAUGUGGUGGUAACCCUAAUGCCAUUUCUGGUUUAGGACAUGGCGGGUAACAAUUUACUGCCAUGAUUUGCAUGCCACGGUCCAUUUUUGGGGUUAGUCGAUUCGGGGAUAUCCUGAGACUGAGACUUUCAAUGAUCAUUCCCAUUAGUUCGAGGGCGAGGUUUCGAACUUGUGCACAAUAUUUACCCAUUUUCUCCCUGAAAACACAUCACAAAUUUAAAUAAGCAUGAUGAGUUAGAUAUAUUGCGUAUAUCUAUAUUAGUUGUCAAAUUGCAUUUUGUUAUUUUUAUUCAGAAAAUGGCAAUUUAAUUCUCGUACUAUUAAAAAUUUCAUCCAUUUCUACUAUUAAAAACUAGCAGGCAAUAGGCAUGCAAUAAUCAGUUUUUAGUAGAAGUGGAUAGAGUUUCUAACAGAAGGACUAGUUUGCUCUUUAAUCAUUAUAUAAAGACUAUUUUACCUAUUUUUUGAAUAAAAAAGACUAAAUGUAAUCAAAAUCUUAAUAUAAAAACUUACAACAAUACUUUUUACCAUAUACAUAAUUGGGAACCUACCUGUAUUGAGGAGGGUUAUGGGGCCAUGAAUCAAUCCAGGCAUCCAAGGGAUGUGCAUAAUGCUCGAGGAAAACUCUCCAAAAUUGGACCUUGUCAGCACCGUCUUUCAAGCUUGUGCCGUACCGUACCGGGUUGUAAACGUCAUUUGACUUGAAUUUAAGCUUCUCUUCACUUGGCAGAUCGAAAAAACCGAGCGCCAUUGCGAGUGCUUCAUCGAGAAUAGAUUGGCUAAUCCCAUGGUUCACAACCUAAUGCAAAAAAAAAAAAAAAAAAAAACAUACCUCCUUUGUUAAUAUACACAAGUAUAUUCAACUUUAAACUAAAAAAUAUUCGAAUUCAAUUCGAUAAUUAUCGAGUCAACCAAAUUCAAGCAUCUUUAUAUUCAAGAACAGAGACAUAAAUUUAUAUUAAAAGAUCGGGUUGAAUUAUAAAUGUUUGGGAAUCAAAACUAACAAUAACAACCAUUUUUAGUUUUGGAAAACAACUUUUAGUACUUAAUUAGCCUAAUGGAGUUCGAAUAUAAAGUUAAAGUAAUUCGACUAUAUUUUUGAGUUGAACUCGAACUUAGAAAACAAUAUUUGAUUAAGCUUGAACUAAAUAUCGAAACCAGAAGUUAGAGUCAAAGCAAAACCAAGGGAAAAAAAUACUCACUUGAAAGAAGCCCCUAUGGCGACAAGCUUCACCAAGUUCUUCAAUGGCGAUUGAGCGUUUAUUGCCAUUCAUUCUUAACCGAGACAUAUCGAUGGUCGGAAUUCGAGCUUUCUCAGUACCCGAACUUGAAGAUUUCGAAGGCGAAACGACGUAACAUUCCGGAACAUAAUCCAAACCCUUCUCUUGUGCUGUGUUUCCAAUAGUAAACGAACUCGGAUUUUUGUCUCCAGACAUUCUGUUUGGACUUCGAGGAGAAAAAAAAACCCCAGAAAACAGAGCAAGAAAAUGAAAAGAAAUACACGUUGUGGGAUACUAAAAACAUGCAAAUAUAUAUAGUGAGAAAGAGUUGGGUCAGCUGUGACGAUUUAAACUCAAAUCAUAAAUGCUUGAAAUGCAGAUUAUUAAAAGUUGUUUUAAAGCACAACAUUCCAAAAUAUAAUUUUCUACAUAUUGACAUUCAUUCAUACAUGUAUGUAUAUUUAAAUGUUUAAGGUAUGGGUUUGUGGAUAUAAACUAUGGAUGACAAGAGGUGGAUAUAAUUAUAUGUUUUUAAAUUUGAGAUUUUGCAAUGUUUGCGAUCAUCAUGUUUAUCCAGGUUAAUAAAUGGUAGCUGAAAAACAAAACAGCACUUUACGGCUAAACGACACUCAACAUAUUGGGUGUAACUUGUAUGCCACCGCGUUUUAUGUUGCAAUGAACCGGUUCCAAUUUUUUCACCCAUUUGAUGAAUUUAAGAUUUAUAUGAACUUGGAAUUGAAUUUGAGUCUAAAUUAAUCUAAUUUUAUCUAAAAAUUCAAGUAGUUUGAAUAUUAAAUUCGAAAAAUGAAAAAUUUAGAUAACUUUAAUUGGUAAUUGAGUUGAAGCUAAUUGAUAUAUUAUUGACUAAAUAUGAUAGAUGGGUAGAUUAGGUUAAUUUGGGUGUAUCAAUUUAAGUUUUAAUAUUUUCGAGUCAUUUUAGAUUUGGAUUAUUUCAAAUUUAGAUUAUGGUCGUUUAAGUUUGUUACAAAUCGGGUCAUUUUAAGUUUUGUCAUUCUUGUUUGACAUUCAGCUUUGGUCAAUCCGAAUUACUUGCUAGGAUCAUUUUAUAUCUGAUAUCAUCUUAAGUUCAAGUUAAUUUUUAAGAUUUUUGGCUUUUUAUUACCAACAAUCAAGCAUAAAUAUGAUAAUGCUCAUGUAUUCCUUACUACCACUUGAUUAUUGUUUUUAUUAACAAAAUUUUAAGAAAAAAUUGUUCUCGUUAAAAUUCACAUUUCAAGUCUCUAUUAGUCGAUGCCGAUUAAAUCUUAGCUCGAUUUGCAUGGGCCUCGUUCCUAAUGCAAGAGGGCGCAGGCUCAAAUGCACUGAAGCAUAUUAUCUUCCUAUUUAUGGGUUAGAGAAGGGCUAUGAAUAGUUCUAUGCUUUAUCUCAAAAAGAACUAAUAUGAUCAUAAUUAAAAUUCUUUGUUGACACACCAAUAAUUUAAUAUCUUACUUCUUCACUCGAUAUUAACCAGUAAAAAUAAUAAUACAACAAACUUAUGAUAUCUCGAUUCAAGAUUUGAAGGCAAGAGUUGAAUAUGAGUAUACUUAAUUCUUUUUAAUAUUUGAAGACUGUAUAUUCAUAUGGAUCUUAGGAUAAGAAAUAUAUGUUAUCCAAAAUCGAGCAACAUGAUACCAAUAUUAUUGCUCUUUAAACUAUUAAUGACUUUGGAAGCACUGUCUUGAUUCUACCUAAUCAAUCUUCAAUCUCAUCUUUACAAAUUUUUUUAUAUAAUUUUUAAAUUAUUCAUAAAUCUCGUCAAAUUCUUAAAUUGAAAAAUACUAUGCACUAGAACCCAUUCCUACCAAGUUGUUGCAACAAUGGCGCCAACUAAGUUAAGAUAAAAUCAAACUUUACAAAAACCUUUUAUCUAUAUUAGAUUUUGUCACACGCGACUUGGGUGAAAAAAAUUUUAAUAUUAAAAUUAUAUUUAUAAAAAAAAAACCUUGUUCAAUAAUUCAAUCAUAAACAAAGUGGUAAAGUAUUUACAAAUAAUCAACAAGAUUUGGGUGCAAUUAUGAGUCAUAUUGCAUUCCCAAUGGGAGACACAUGUUUAAAUCUAGAAAACGACAUUGUUAAGAGGAGCAGCUACAAGUCCGAAAUGGUUUAAGUAAUUUCCCUACCGAGACACCUAGAUCCAGCUGCAUACUUGUAUGUAUGAUAUGAUUUUACCAAAUCCAGGUUUCCUUUUUAUAUGAACUACAAGUUUCGGUACAAAUCAUGUUACUAACCUUGUUUGUCAAAUCUAAAAACUUAUCAAAGUAUAAUGAUUGGAAGAAGUGAAAGGAGGAUUGAAGUUUUUCAUUUCAAAAACAGGGAUUGUUUUGGAAAAUAGUACAAAUACAAAUACGAUUUUUGUUGCAGCAAGGGAAGACUAUUAGGAUGUUUGUAUAUAUACAAAGGAUUGGUUAUCUUGUUUGUAUCUACAUUUGAAAACCAAUAAUAAAGAGAAUGAGAAUGUCACCUCUAAUCAAAUGGAUCAAUUCGUGGGUCGUGUUCGCUUGCCAUUGCCAUUCCGGUGCAAAGACACGUAGGGCACAUAACCUGCCAAAGUUACCAAAAAAGGGUCACGAGUGAACAAAUGAAUGAUGCGAAAUAAUGCUAUAUCUGGAAAAGAAAGGUAAAUAAUGAAAGCCAUCAAAUUUCCCGGUUGAUAUAUGCACAAGUAAACAACACACCACUGAGACCAUAUAUUUUUAGAUGACAAACCUUUCCGGAUCCCAAACAGUUUGAACAUCUUUCCGUUUUGGGGGUUGAUAAAGGACGGUCUCCACCAUUUAGUGUCGAGACUGGUUCGGUAAGAACAAGUGAUCCGGUACUUGAGCAGCGAGCACAAGCAAGAUAUCCUGCAUUUACCGGAGGAUAAAAUACAGUGUCUUUUUUUUGAAACUUUACAAGUACAAUCAGAGUACAAAUACAAGUACAUGUCUGAGCUACCAGAAAGUGUAGACUGUAGAAUCAAACUAUUACUAGGGCUGAGCAAGAGCUACAAAAAAGUGUAGAAUCAAACUAUUACUAGCACUGAGCAAGAAAAACCGAUCCGAACAAAGGUGUUUGGACGGUUAAUGGAAUACAAGUUUAAAAAACACGGUUAUCCAAAACCAAAUCAAAUUUUAUUUUUUAUUUAAUAUAUAAUUGAUUUUAAUUUUUUUUAUGAUAUAAAAAUAAAUAUUUUAUAUUUAAAAUAGUGAAAAUAAUUUAAAAGUUAUUAAAAUUUUAUUUUUUUUAGAAAUAUUUAUAAAAAAGGCUUUGAAUUUUUGUCAAAUAAUAUUCAAAAGCUAUAGAGCAAAGUUCAUUUUGUUAAAAUAAGUCUAAAAAUCCAAAAUAAAAAACUAAUAUAGAAAAAUUGAGAACUGAGCCAAACCGAAUUAUGACGGACGGUUCAAAAAAUCUAAAAUACCUAACAGAACUAAAUUGAACCGAUAUCACCCUUAACUAUUACAGUAUAGACGAACUAAAACCUGAAACAAUCCAAACUAAUAUUGACUAACCGAACUAAAACCUAUGCAUAUAAUUGCACUUGGGUCUAGAACCUGGGAACUUGGAACCCUAGGUAAACAGAAAGUUUCAGGAAUAUACCUGUUCCAAGACAAUACUUGCAUCGUUUAUGCUCUUGCUGUUUAACAUUGUUUAUUUCAACUACCAUCAAGGCUGAGAUAACCCCUACUGCUCCUCCAGAGAAGGAUGCCACUAUAGGAUCAACCUGACUGCAUUUACCACCAAUGGAACCACGUUAAAUAAUACCACAACGAAACAAAAUUGCAUGCGCCGUUUAAGAUUUGGUAACCAAGACAGAUGCCACUUCUCUUUAGAAGCCAAACUUGUCUAAGAAAUUAAUUCCCCACUAAUAUUUCUAAGUAAAUAUAAGCUGGCUUGCAACAAUUGCGGUAAGUGUUACACUGAAACCAAAAGGACAUCAACUUCUUCGUGGUUAAAAAGGUAGCAUUCAAGCGAGCUUAAGCUAUACCUAAUAAUAAACAUCCACUACAAACCAAGAGGAUCAAUCAUACCUCAACUGCAUUGGCAGAUGUACACUACGGAUGAAAUCUGCAUAUGAUGUGCCCCCCAGUCCUAGCUUAAGCUCCAGCUAGGGUAUGGGAAGAAGAAAUAAGACAUGUAAGGAAAUAGAAUAUGAUUCCAAAAACAAUAUCUAAUUCUAUCAUGUGUAUUUUCAUGUUAAAAUCAGAUGUUUAUUAAAAGUGAUCAUCUCCUUACUAAUUUUCGUAUAUAUAAUGGACUAUUUCCCUUCAAAUGAUUUAUCCUCUCAGGAACACGUUCCAUUCAUUCUAUUCUUAAAAGAACAAACCAACUAGAGAGAGACUAGAUUCCAAAUGUUGAGAGCAUGAAUGACUUACAGUGGGUGCUAGAAGUCCACCAAAAAUAAUAAUUCCAGCAAUAAGAGAAUAACAAGUCACAUAAUAAACCUUGAGAUUUGCUGAGGUCUGCAAGUGAAAUACCCGGUCAAAGAUAUAUGAUUGUAAAUAGAUCAACUUGGAUUUAAUUUCAUUUAUUAACAAGUAAAAACAAUAGGCUGAUGGAAUAAAAACAAAUCAUUUUAAGAAAAUCUCACCAAUGGAGGCAGGAAUGGGAUGAAUGAUGGAAAAUUAGGAAGUUCACUUUCUUGCUCUUCCUUGAAAAUACCUAGUUCAGCACUUUUAAUUCUCUGUUGUAUCCUUAGCCUCCGAACCUACAAGAAUAUUAUUUGAGGGGUGUAUCAUUUGAUUAAGCAAUCAUAUGGUUUUCUCAGUAUAAAUGCAUGCAGAAACUUCCCCUAUUGACAUCGACAACUCAAAAAUCUAAUUAAAAGAAAAGCAGUGGAUUCACCUCUUCCAUUUGGAGAAAGAUUUUGUUUCGCCGACUUCGAAUAUUAUCCUCAAUUUCUUGAAGUUCCAUCUUAGCGAAAUCCUGGACUGUUUCAGGCCCUUCUAUGAUGCAAAAUCUGCACAUUUUGUAAUCAUAAAUUCCCAAGAUUUUGAAAUUCAUGUUUUUCUAUACAUUUCAAAUACAUAAUCAAAGUUCAACCUUAACUAAUUUGUCUUUUCAUAGCUCAUAGUUAAUAUAACAAAUAAAAAAUCCAAAUUCAGCUUUUCAUAGCUUAUAAAAUCAUAAAUUCUUAAGAUUUUGAAAUUUAUGUUUUUCUUAAUACAUUUCAAAUACAUAAUCAGCGUUCAACCUUAACUAAUUUGGCCUUUUCAUAGCUCAAAAUUAAUAAAAGAAAUGAAAAAUCCAAAUUCAGCUUUUCAUAGCUUAUAAAAUCAUAAAUUCCUAAGAUUUUGAAAUUCUUGUUUUCUUAUACAUUUCAAAUACAUGAUCAAAGUUCAACCUUAACCAAUUUGGCUUUUUCAAGCUCAAAAUCAAUAUAACAAAUGAAAUAUCCAAAUUUAACUUCUCAUACCUUAUAAAAUCAUAAAUUCCUAAGAUUUUGAAAUUCAUGUUUUUUUAAUAUAUUUCAAAUACAUAGUCAAAGUUCAACCUUGACUAAUUUGGCUUUUUCAAGCUCAAAAUCAAUAUAACAAGUGAAAUAUCCAAAUUUAGCUUCUCAUACCUUAUAAAAUCAUAAAUUCCUAAGAUUUUGAAAUUCAUGUUUUUUUUAAUAUAUUUCAAAUACAUAGUCAAAGUUCAACCUUAACUAAUUUGGCUUUUUCAAGCUCAAAAUCAGUAUAACAAAUGAAAAAUCCAAAUUUAGCUUCUCAUACCUUAUAAAAUCCUAAAUUCCUAAGAUUUUGACAUUCAUGUUUUCUUAUACAAUUCAAAUACAGAAUCAAAGUUCAACCUUAACUAAAUUUGGCUUUUUCAGAGCUCAAAAUCAUAAAUUUCAAAAUUCCUAAGCUUUCGAAAUUUGUGUUUUCUAAUACAUUUCAAAAUUCAUAAUCAAAGUUCAACCUUAACAAAUUUGCUUUUCAUAGCUCAAAAUUAAUAUAACAAAUGAAAAAUCCAAAUCUAGCUUCUCAUACCUUAUAAAAUCAUAAAUUCCUAUGCCUUCGAAAUUUAUUUAUUUUAUACUUUUUCAAAUACAUAAUCAAAAUUCAAACUUAACUAGAUUAAAAUUUAAUUCUCACAAUUCAUAUAACAAAUGAAAUUCGAAAUUUUCAAAUUCAUUAGCAACAGAGAAAUUACCCGGCGGCAGUUUUAUCGGCGGGAGAAUCGGAUUCAACAGACUGCGCGGAGGAAGAUGAAUCCGGCUCGGUAGCCAUAGAUCGCCAUCUCGAUUUCAAUUCGCAUUUCGUAUGAACAAAUCUAGAGCUCAAAGAAGGAGGCUUGUAUGGAGGCGAAGGCUUUACCGUACAAGAAAUCGUCAACACUCGACUCAAACAAACCAUCCUCAAGAAGAACAAAAUUCUUCAAUCUCAAUAACUCUCUCUCUUUUUUUUUUCUCAAUAAAAUUUCAUUUCAGCGUUGUUUUUCCAAAAAAAGGAAAAAAAAAUGUAAGUUCAUUGCUGUGAUUUUAUUGUUUGAUGCUGAAACAAAUUAAUCAACCGACGACUCUAUUGGUCUAAUUUUGCCUCAGGUUCUUAUACUCUUGGGACAUUUGAAAUUUAGUCCUCUACAUUUAAUUUAAAAUUCAAUACCGUUGUUACUCGCUUUUGCUAAAUUUGAACCUAUUAUUAAUUGCACUUUAAUAUAAGUGUAAAAAAAUAUAAAUAUAUAUUUAUAAAAGGUUUAUCUAAAAACUUUGGUUAAAUAGUUAAUUUAAAUUUUUAAUAAACACAAUGUUUUAGUUUUAAUAUCAUCAUAGUAAUAUUUUAUAAAAUUAUUUUUUUGAAACUUUUUUAUAAAUUUAUUUUUAUAUACAACUAUAAAAAGAUAAAAAAUAAUAAUAUAUUUUUAGUCAUUUUAUAAUUGAAUUAGUGUUUGGUUAACUUGCGAGUUGUGACAUCAACCCAAUCAGUGUUGAUGCUUGAAUCAAACAAGAUAGAGAUAAUAAUGAUGCAAGGGGAAGAGCCAUCGCAGACGGUGAUCAAAGUUCAAGGGUAUACAAUGGUUGAGGUUCAAAGGAUGGCUGAGAGAGAGCAAUCAUGCACGAGGCUAAAGGUUUAUAUAUCCUUAGCCAUGAUCUUGAUGUGCCAUAUGUCACUUUUUCAUUGGCGAUCUUAAGGCAAGCUUGUCAAGUGACCUGCCAUUGUUGACCUAAGUAGGGUGGUUAGGGUGAGUAUUGGACAUGUUGUCAAUCACUUCAUAUAAAACACAACAGUUAGCAUCAUAAAUGGUGGUUAUUGUAUGGGUCUCAUGUGAAUUCGUACCUAAGAAGUUGUUUUAAAAAGAUUACUCUGAGUGGUAGUUUGGAGAAGUGAGUAUUUAAAGAGUAAGGGUAUAAAAGUCAAGAUGUUAAAUAAUAGUAUAAAUAAAAAUGUCGCAUAUUUUUUUAUUAAUCUAAAGAGUUAUAAUUAGAAUUAAUCAUUACAAACAUAGUUGGACUAAAAAAUGGAAUAUAUAUAGACUUAAACUAAAAUAAAUUUAGACAGGACUAAUGAGAUUCAAAAUACGAAUAAAAUUUAAAGAAAAUUUACACAUUACUUACAUAAAGUGAGAUUUGAACCUGGUCACUCAAGGUGACAUAUUCUAAGUUAAAUAAAAAUUUUGAAAUUAAAAGUAGAGAGACAAAUUUUUAAAACUGAGAAAGGACAGGGACUGGAGUCAAAAUUAAACCAUCCCAAUUUGAUUGUGGAGCAGAGGAGGUGAGUGAGUGGGGCUUAGAUUGACGAAGACAAAGCGGAAGCAUUAAAUAAUGAUGCAAACGUGAAUGGCGAAGAUCUUUUGAAGGGCGCUAAUGCUGCCAAGUAACUGGAAUAAUAAAUAAUAAUGUUUACCUGCUUUUUCAUUUUUGGAUAUUUUUAUUUUCCCGGAAAAUGACUUCCAUUUUUGUAACUUUGUUCAAUUUAAUCCUAUGAUUUUCCGUCUAGGAUAAGAAAAUAAAAUAACAAUAACAAAACAUUAUCCAAUCUGUUUCUCUUAUUUUUAUUAUUAUUUGGGGAUACAUCAAGAAAAUGAAAAUUAUGAUUUUCUUUUAGGCCAUUGGAGAGUGGGUUUUGUUUAUUUAAUAAGCCCAAGGAAAACUUUUGGGCCAGAACAACGGCCUGAGUAUAUUAAAGAAAUAGGAUAAACUACAAAAAUAGUCACUUUUGUUUCUCUUAGGUUACAUUUUAGUCACUUAUGUUUAAAAUAUUACGUUUUAGUCACUUACGUUAACGCGUUGUAACAUUUUAGUCAUUGAGCCGUAAAUUUCCAUUAACGAUGUAAUGGUAAGCUGAUGUGGCACGUUAAAUCAUCAUUUCAAACAAAAAUUUCAGGUUAAAUUAUACAAUUGAUCCCCAUAUUUUUUCGUUUUGAGCAUUUUUUUUCUUUUAUGUUCUUUCAACUUUCUCUUUUUUUUUCUUCCCCAUUUUCUAGUCUUUUAUGCUUCUCCCUCUAUUUUCCUUCUUUUUCCAUCUCUUUUAACAUAAAAGAAAAAAAUUUAAAUUGCUCAAAACGAAAAAAAAUAUGGAGACUACUUGUAUAAUUUAACCUAAAAUUUUUGUUUAAAAUGAUGAUUUAAUGUGCCACAUCAGCUUACCAUUACAUCAUUAACAACAAUUAACGGCUCAGUGACUAAAAUGUUACAACACAUUAACAUAAGUGAUUAAAACGUAACAUUUCAAACAUAAGUGACUAAAAUGUAACCUAAGGGAAACAAGAGUGACUAUUUUGGUAGUUUACUCAAAAAAAUAUAAUAGAAUUUUUUUGGUAAAAAUACCAUAGAAGCCCUUGUACUAGAAGUCGAAUUGUAUUUUGCCCCAUCUAGUAAAAAAUAGACAAAUUAGUCAUUGUACAUUAGAUCGAAGAGCAAACUGGUCUUUUUUGUUAAAAUUUUUAUCUAUUUGUAUUGUUGAAAAUGGAUAUGGUUGACAGAAUAACUAGACAGUGACACAUGGCGUGCCACUUAUACCUCAUGCUAACGUCCAAUUUAUAACAAUAGAAAUAGAUGAAAUUUUUAAUAGAAUGACCAGUUUGCUCUUUGAUCUAACAUACAUGGACUAAUUUGCCCCUUUUUUUAGUAAAUGGGGCAAAAUGCAAUCUGACUCCUAGUACAAGGGCCUCAAGGAUAUUUUUACCCCUUUUUUAUUAUAAACUUUUUAAUUAACACUAGAUUUUUUCACACCCAUUAUGUGGGUGAAAGAAAAUAUUUUAUUAAAAUUUGUUUAAUUAUGAAUAUAGAUAGAAUUAAUUUUAUACUUAAUACUAUUGAAUAAGUGUUCGAUCCUUAGAUUUGUAAUUAUUUUAUUUAAAGAUGAUAUAAAAGUAUAAAAAAUCAAAAGUGUCACUACAAUAAUAUUAAUUAUAAUUUUUUAAAGGGAUAUUUCUAUAAUUUUAUAAUUGAGUUGGUAACUCGAUUAAGAGUGAUACUGUAACACCCAUAACAUUCAUCCGUCACCGAAAUAGGGUUACGGAAUAUUACCGAACUUUACAAAUUAAAUACAGACAUUUCAUAACAUUUGUUACACAUAUUAAGAAUCAAUUAUAUAACACUCAUAUUGUCCCUUAGAUGCGCCCUCGAGGCCCAAUAUACAUCUUAGAAGUGAAUCGAGACUAAAUCGGAUACUCUGGGAAUUUUUCCCAAAAUCUCAAAAAUUUUCUUAAGAGCAGGGGACACACGCCCGUGUCUUAGGCCGUGUGGGCAAUCGAUAUGAGGCACACGGCCGUGUCCCAACCUGUGUCCUUACCUGUGUAACUUUUUGACUUGGGUCACACAGCUAACCACACGCCCAUGUGUUAGGCCGUGUGCAAGGUGUAGGGGUCACACAGCCAAGACACACACCCGUGUGCUAGGUCGUGUAACUUUUCUCUCCCUUUUUUUAUAUCAACCUAUACACAACAUUUCAGUACAUCAAAGAGCCCCAAUCAAACAAUCAACACAAGCCAAAAAUCAUGUUUUAAACAUAAUAUAUCAUCACAAAACUCAAUUGCCUAAACUUACCAAAAUAACUCCAUUCAUUGAUUUACCAAAAUUUACUACUAAAUGCAUGCAUACUAACAUAUAUAUAUAUGUGCCAUUCACAACCAUACCUCAAAUUUAGCUAUUUUCCAAUCCAACCCUAUACAUGCUAUAUAAACCAUAAAAUGUAUAACAAACUCUACCGGAGCGAACUGGAUAGUGUGACUCGAUGUAUUGAUCCGAUCCUCCGAACUUCUAGAAAAUCUGCAAAGAACAUUAAACAACACAGUAAGCUUAAUGAAGCUUAGUAAGUUCCUUGGCUUUAAAUAUAAAUCUUACCGAACAUACUAUAAUAAUUCAUUUAGGUAAAUCAUUUCACAAACGUUUCCUGCCAAUCACAACUUCGAUUGAUGAAUUCACUUAUUCAAGCUCAAUAUCAAUAAUAACUUAAAUUCUUCCACAUUAAUUCCAUAUGGCACUUACCAAUCCUUGUCAAAUCAGAUAACGUCUUACGGAUUUGUGUACAUCGUAAACAGAAGCCCGAAUGCUGCAAUGAAGCACAUAAGUGCUACACAAAAACCCGUAAGGGUUAAACGGAAGCUCAUAAGAGCUAAACGGAAACCCAUAAAGGUUAAUUUGAAGCUCAAAAGAGCUAAACUGAAACCCAUUAGGGUAAAACUAAAGCUCAAAAUAGCUGAACUGAAACCCAGAAGGGUUAAACUGAAACUCAUAUGAGUUGACUGAAGCUCACGAGAGCUAAAUGGAAAGAAAACACGGAAGUUCACAACAAAUGCUAAACCCUGGUUUACUUGGGUAAUUUGCCGGUAAUUCUUAUUUCGCACUGAACAACUGUACUUAAUCAUGCGUUCCAUUCUUUACGAACACUCAAUUUAAUUUCAUAACUUUAACAAUAAUUUUAUUUUCACAAAUGAUAUAAAUAAAUACACAUUACUAUACAUCAAUUUAAUUUAUAACAUUAAAAUUAAACCAUACGAACUUACCUGGGUUAAAUUGUAAGUUUGUAGUACUUAGAAACUGUUCUACUAAUUUCUCUUUUUCUCGUUGAUCUACGGGAUCUUGAUCUAAAAUAUAAAAUUGUUUAUUCAUUAGUAUAUUUUUCAAUUCUAAUUCACUUCACAAUUAAUACCCUUCAAUUUUUUAAAUUACACAAUUACCCUAACUUUUACACUUUUUACAAUUUAGUCCCUCACCAAUUAUCCUAUCAAUUGAUUAAAUUUUCUCAAUUGAAAAUUUAUCUAACUAUUCUAGGCUAUCUCACGGCCUUUGAUAAACUUAAUCUAAUAUCAAACCCUAAGAUUUAAUCUUUUUCACAAUUUAGUCCUACAAUCAAUUUCUAUUAAAAUUGCUUGAUAAAAUCAUCAUAUAACAAAAUUAAAGCUUCAAUUCCAUGUUAAUUCAUCAUAAACAUCUAGCACUCAUCAUUUAUAACUUUAAAAAUUACCCAUAAAAUCAAAAACUAAUGAAUUAGACAGUUGGACCUAAUUACAAAAGUCUUAAAAACACAAAAAAAAUCAAGAAAAGAGCAAGAAUUGAACUCAUAUGUAGAAAAAUAUGAAAACCAGCUUCUUAAGGGUUCUUCAAUGGUGUUUUUGGCUGAGAAUUAUGAAGAAGUGUCUAUAUAUUCAAUUAAAUCCUAUUUUUAACUUUUAACUUUUAUUUCAGUUCCAAUUUUACCCCUUGUUCACACUAAUUUCAUGAUUUUUCUACACUCAUGCCGUCAAGCCUCUUAUUUUAGGCUUAUUUACCCUUCAAGUCCUUCCUUAUUUAACAUUUAGGCUAUUUUAUCACUCUGACAAGUUUUGCACAUUUUUCAAUGUAGUCCUUUUUAAUUAAUUAACUGUCAAAACGUUAAAAUUUUCUAAUGAAACUUUAAUACUAACUUAAUGACACUCUGUAAAUAUUUAUAAAAAUAUUUAUGGCUCGGUUUAUGAAAUUAAGGUCUCGAUAUCUCGUUUUCAGAACCACUUAACCUAAUAAAUUCUUUUAAAACACAAAUCACUAAUUCAAAAAUCUUUCUAAAAUCACACUUAACUCAUGCAUAAUAAAUAAUAAAAUUUUUUAACUCACUCGUCGGAUUUAGUGAUCUCGAACCACAGUUUCCGAAACCAUUAAAAAUUAGGCUGUUAUAGAUACCAACUUAAUAAAGUGAUUAAAUAAUAUUAUAGAUAGAUAGAUAACCUUUUCUUUUAUCAAAAACUUGUAGUCAUGGUUGUUAAUAGCACCUGGCUCAAUUAUUAUCAUGUCGACUUGGUAAUUCACAUGUAAACGAUUGUUGACGUGACAUUACCAUGUUUGAAAAAAAUAUUCUAAUAAGUUUUAAAGAAUGUAAAACUAUAAAAAUUCAAUUAUAAAAAUUCAAAAAGUAGCAAAAUAUUAAAAUUCUCAAAAGAAAUUCAAAAAAUAUAAAAAGUGUUUUAAAAUAUUUAUUAAAAAAAACCUAAAUUAGUUCAUAUGACUAACCUUUUUCUAGUUUUCCUGUGGCCAUGCCAAUGAUAUUAGUGGCAUUAUUCAAUUUGACUGAGAAAACAAGGCAUGGGUUGGUGCUAAGUAUGUUUCCACUGUCUGCCUUUUAACUUGUUUCCACCAAUUAUCCCAUUUGAUCGAGGAAGAGCCAAUGCUAUUGCUUGCUCUUUGUCUUCGUCCCUCGAUUUGUUCAAUUAAUUGUGCAAUCUCUAUUUUGAUUGUAACUGAAAAUUGAGAUAAGUUUAAAGAAAGUAGAUUUAGCUUAUUGUUGGUGCAUAUAUGCUAGUAAUGUUUAUACCUUGGGAAGUUCGAGUGGCAUACUUUUUUUUAGGAAGUCAGUUUUUUCAAGAAUUUUUUUUUUAAGUAUUAUCUGUUGAGCAGUUGACAUAACCCUCAACAAUAGUAGGUAUUGUCUCGUAUUGAAGUUUUGUCUCUUUCUUCCAUCGAGAGUUAGUUUUCGGAGAAGAAACACCUCAAUUGAUGAAGAUAUAACCAAUAAAGCUUCCAAGAAAAAUGUCAUUAUAGUGCGUAACAUUAAAUCACUUGCGUACAAAAGGAACUCGAACCACCAAUCUAAACAUAGAAGUUACCUAAACACAAGGAAACAUCAAACAAUGCUUUUGAUAGUUGAUGCUAAUAAUCCAAAUUUUGCAUUUUUUUUAUUAGUAUCAUUUAUCCUUGACUAUCUAAUUGUAGUAUGUUUUGCAAAUGUUUCCUUUGUUGGCUCAUUCUGUUAGUUUGGUUUUUUGGGAUGUCUUUAAAAUUUGCAUGUAUUUUUGGUACUGAGAUUUUUGCUAUUGCCUCCUUUUUAUAGUUAGUUUAGAUUCUAGUAUUGCUUAAGACCUUUGAAAAAUAGAGUAAAGUAACUCUAAAUAUUAGAAUUAUCAUUAAGGUUGGUUUAAAAUCAUCACUUUUAAUGUAAAAUAACUAACAGUAUUGUUAAUUUAAAUAUACAUUUAAUAUUAUUAAAAAUAUUAAAUUCUAAUUGGCAUUGUAUAGGGAGUGGAACCAUAAUUAGAUCUAGACCAUAAAUAUUUUGGUGUUGGUAGGCCCAUCAACACAACUGAUCACCAACAAUAGAUUAAUUCAUGAAACCUAUAAGAUCAUCCAAAUCCAUCUAUAUAAACAAUCUCUUUUGAGAUUGAUCAACAAUGAACCUCAACAUAAAACCUAUUAGUCAAGGGUGUUUAUUCCUUCCCCAAGUUUUUGGAAUGAUGUGUAAGUUUAACAUGUAUGAUAGUGUAAUUGUGUAGGCAUAUGGGUGUGUGAGUUGUACUUGAAUGAUAUUAAGAGAGAUUUGUCAACAAUGAGCAUGUAUCCCAGGUAAAAGAUCUUUGGAGGUCUUAUAUUAGGAGUCAAAUUGCAUUUUAUGCUUAUUACUCAAAAAAUAGAUAAAUUAGUCAAUAUACGUUAAAUCAAAUGAUAAAUUGUUCCGUUCUAUUAAAAAUUAGCAUGAUUGACGGAAUAACAAAAAAGUUACGCCACAUAUACUUAUACUGAUGUACAAGGACCAGUUUUUACAAUAGGACUGGAUGAAUUUUUUUAUAGAACAACCAAUUUGCUCUUUGAUCUAACGCACAUGUACUAAUUUAUCUAUUUUUUUAGUAGAGAGAACAAAUUAAAAUCCGGCGCCUGAUAUAAACAACUUUAUAAUACUUUUACCUAUACCCCUUUGCUCUACUCCAUUUCUUUCAUUUCUUGUAUUAACCUUACACGUAAGAAGCUUCAUGAAGAUCCAAAUCCUACACCAUCUAAUAUUAUUUUUCCCUCCAUGGGACCACUCUCGUUAGUGUAAUUGUCCAACACUACAUAAUCAUGUAAAUUGAAAACAGAUAUAAAUCACAUCAACACUACAUCUAUGUAAAAAUUACUGCCUAACACUACAUGAUCUUUUUAAGAUAUUAUUUUCUAUUUGUAGAUAACGUUCACAGCCUCACUCACUGAAAUUUGCUCUCCACGUCUAAGUAGGGAAGGGUGGGGGAGCUAAGUGGUAUCAUAAAUCAUCAAAAGAUAGCCAAAUUUGGAUGAAAAUAUCUUGCAAGUGUUUUCAGCCUUCUAAAUCGUUAGCAGAUCCAACCAAAUAUAUGUAUGUAAAAUAUUAUGGGACUGUUUUAGUGAUGGGUCAAUUCCUUCACUGCACCAUUCACUAUUGAGAAUUGACAUUAUUGUAUAUAAAUAAAUUAAAUAUAGUUGAAAGUUGGGCCAAAAGGGAUACUCAAGUUUCAGCGUUGAAGUAAUGGGAAAUUGGGUCCAAUUUUAUGAGGCAACUUGGAUUGGGGAAAUGGAGGGGUGUCGCAUCGCAUUGCAUGUGAGGUGGUCCGACCAUAGGGUGGCCGAAUUUUUCGAAUCUGCAAGGUUUCACUCAUUUCAAAUUUGAAUAAUGUAAUUAUUGGUAAAAAUAUCAUAGAGUCUUUUAUAAUAAGAGUAGAAUUGAAUUUUAUUUUACUUUACUUUAAAAUUAGGUAAAUUAGUCCAUUUGCAUUAGAUCAAAUAGCAGAUUAGGCACUCUGUUAAAAAUUUCAUUAAUUUUUACUGUUAAAAACUAGCCCUUAUAUGUUAGUAUGAGGUACAUGUUGCACGCUAAGUGUCACUGUCUAAUUAUUCCAUUAGCCACGCUAGUUUUUAAUAGUAUAAAUGGAUGAAAUUUAUAAUAGAAAUGAUCAAUUUAUUCUUUGAUCUAAUGCAAAAUGACUAAUUUGUUCAUUUUUUGUAGAGGAGCAAAUGCAAUUUGACUUCUGAUACAGAGCCUCCAUGAUACUUUUACCCAUAUGUGUUCUAUAGGUCAAAGACGUUCAUCUCACAACCCACAUUAUGGGUUCAAGUCGUAGGAAUUACCAGGGACAACGUCAAGGAGCUAGCAAAGGCCUCAACCUCCAAAAUAAAAUAAAAUAAUUAAUUUUACUAAUUCUCAUAAAAAUAUACAAUUAAAAUCCAACCCAUCAAAAAAAAAUUUUACUUCACCUUAAAGAUUAUCGGCUUGUGGCAUGUGCAUAGCAAUGAUUUAUUCUGAGUUAUAAAAGAAAAAACUUUUUUUUAAAAUUUUAAUAUUUAGAAAAGGGUUUUCGCACACUAAAUUCUGAUUUAUAGUAUUAAAAAAAAGAAAAGAAAAGAGAAGAUUAAUGAAAGGACACUGGAAAAGAAAAAUAAUCUUAACCAUCUUUGCCAAUAAGUGAAAAGGGGAACGAAAUAAUUGAUUACAAUGAUUUUGUAAUAAGAUGAUUGUUUUUUUUUAUAAAAUAAUUAUGUAAAAAUAAGGACGGAAAAUUUUAAAAAAUCAAUUUAAUUUUUUUUCUUAACAUUAGUAUGUUUUUUUUAAAGAAAACAUUAUUAUUGAUAAGAAUCAUAAACAAUAAUAAUACAAAGAUAUAACAUAUCGUACAAACAAUAAAUAAAUCCCUACAAGUUAAAACAGAAAUGUCAUAUCUGCAAAAUAAUUUUAAAAAGAGAAGGACAAAUUAAAAGUAAUCGCAAUACUGAAAUAAUUCAGAAACAAAUUAGAGAUGGAUAAACUUAUUCAAAUUACUGAAUUUUACAUCCUAGUCUCGCCAUCAUCAAAUUAACCUGACGAUAAAUACCAUCAAUCAAGAAAAAUUGUCAAAAAUCUUUAAAAACCCGUUGCAUUAGUGAUACACAAAAAGCUAAAUCUCAUAUGAAUUAUCUUCCUCCUCAUUAUCUUAAAUCUAUCACUAUUAUUAUAAUCUAUCGUGAUAAAACCCUUGAAAAAUUAUUCUUAAUAUAUCUGACUACCCUUUUAUUCCACCCUACUGCCAUCCCUGUCAUACCAUUUUAGGCAAACAUUCCCGCACGAGUUGAGCCAAUUGAAGGUGAAGUUUACAAGUUGAGCUUAUAGAUUUGGUGUGCUCCAUUGAAAAUGGGGGCUCUUUAUCCUAAUAUUAAACAUGAAUUUUCGUGGGUGAAUGGCCCAGCAAAUCGGAAAAUAUUCUAGUUGUGGAACCACCUAUGUACCCUAGAUUCUAGACAUGUUGAAAUUUAGUUAGGUCCUUGCCCAAUUACUUCCACUACUAAAGGGUUUUUCCAAUCUCUACUUCAAUCUAUAUACCUGUAAUUAUGCCUUUUCUUCCGCCCUCAACAAUCAUAAUUCAUCACUGGAUAACUAAUUACUUUUCGAUUGAAUGAUAAAAAGUUUGAUAUUUUUUAUAAGAGAUUUCAAGGUCGAGUCAAAUAAAUGAAGAAAAUAAUUUUGGAGGAGUCUUGCUCUCCGUUUAAGAGUUUAACUUAAUUUGAUUUUAAAUUUAAUUUGGGUCCAUUGUAAUUAUCGAAUAUCAAUAAAUUUAUAUUAAAAAAGUGAACGAAUCUAAUAAAAAUUGGCACAUUUCACAAUCAUAACUAAAAUUUUGAUAACUUCAAUCUGAAUUUGGCAAAUCCAUAAAGAAAAUGAUAAUUUCAAAUUUUAAAAAAAAAUAGAUAUCCAAAUCUGCAAAAAAUUUUAAUUCAAAUAUGCUAAACUUCUUUUCAUAUAUAUAAAUUCAAAACAAUAACCAUUUUUAUAACCAGUAGAUUCAGAUAUUAGGAAUAUCUAUUUACACCCAUAGUGGAUAAUAAUUUUAAAAUCUAAAUUCGAAUAUUAUCUUAAUCCACAAUCCGAAUUAAUAUCCCUAAAACAUUUAUGCAUACAUGAAAUAAAAAAUAUAAUUAAAUAAAUUUAUUAGCAAAUGACAUCGUGCGAUUUACUUAUACCGUAGAACUUUUAAUGAGGUUAAAGUAUUUGAAAAGGUCUUGUACUAUAGAGAUCAGAUCAAAUUGGUUCAUCUAUUAUUAAAUGGGUCAAUUUAGUCUCUAUACUAUUAAAAGAAUUAAAUAAGUCUAAAUUGUAAUAGAGUUGACAUUAACCAAAUAAAAAAAUUUUUGAAAAUUUUUUUUUCAAUUACAGUCCAAUUCCAAACAAAAUAUUUCAUUUACUGAACAAAAUUUAUAUUAAAAGUAUUAACUUUGUUAAAUAGCAAAUGAAUUUUUUUAUACAGUAAAUAUUAAGUCUAUUCUAAUUUGGCUUUAUUUGAUUCUUUUAAAUCGUAAAAUGACUAAAUUAAUCUAUUUAAUAAUAACGAGACUAAUUUAAUUUGAUCCUAUAAUAAAACUACAUCUAAAACUCCAUUCACCCUUUUAAUGACAAUUAUGUUUUUUUCCAGGUUUAAAGAAAACACUAUUAAAUUGACACUUUUGGUUUAAAACUUGGAUUUUUUACAAAACAGUGAUGUGUUUAGACAAUAAUUGAUGAAAUAUAUGGUUUGAAACUAAUUAAUAAUAAUACAAUAUUAAAAUGAAAAAAUAAAUAAUUUGUGAGUAAAAGCGAAAUUUAAAUACAUCAAAUUAAAAAUAUUAAAUGUACUAUAAGUGUUUAUUAUGGUGUUAUCGUCAAUCUUGAGUUGAUAUCGAGUUAACUUAUUAAACAAACUUGAUCAAUAAUAUUAUUAAUAUAUAAUAGAAAUUCUUUCACACGCAUAUGCGUGUGAAAAUCACGUAUUUAGAACAUAGAUACAUGAUUAAAAAUAAUAUACAUUAAAUAAUGAAAUGUAUAGUUUGAAACUAAUUAAUAAUGACACAUGAAAUAUGUACAAUAUUUAAAUAAAAAAUUUUAAAUUAUAAGUAAAAUGAAAUUUAAACACAUGAUACAGCAGAUUAAGAAUACUAAAUUAGUACAAUUGUUUAACAUGGUGUUGUUAUCAAUCCUAAGUUGGUGUCGAGUUAAUUUAUGACACCAACUCAAUCAACAAUAUUAUUAAAUCUAAAUUUAAUUAUGUAAAGAUAUUUCCAUAAUUUCUCUAAUCGUGUUGGUGUCCGGUUGACUCAUGACACUAACUCAGUCAAAUGUUUAAAUAGAAGUAUAGAUAUAUAAUUGAUGGAAGUAAUAAAAUGUACAUAUUAAAAUAAAUUGUAUAAAAAAAUUAAAGUAAAACUUCAAUUGACCGGUAAAUUUAAGUUUUUACUAACUUAAUUGGCAAGGAUUCAAAAAUUACGUUAGGCAUAUUUUUAUUGAUUUUUUAAAAAUGAAAAUGACUAAAAUACCCUCGAUAAUAUAACCAUAUUUUAAUGACGAAAGGAUAAUUUCGAAAUUUCUCUAAUUGAGUUGGUGCUCGGUUGACUUGUGAUAUUAACUUAGUCGAGUGCUUAAAUAAUAGUAUAGAUAAUUGACGAAGGUGAUAAAAUGUGCAUAAUAAAAUUAAAAUGUACAAAACAUUUUAGAAUAAAGCUUUGGUUGAAUGGUAAAGUUAAAAUUUUAUCGGUACAAAUGUUAUGAGUUCAAAUUCUAUUAUAUGCAAAAUUUUUAUUGAUUAAAAAAAGCUAAAGUAGACUGGAAUAAUAUAACUUUUAUAAAUACAUAUGGUUUUUUUUUUUGUAAUUUAUCUAACUGAAUUGGUGUCUGAUUUAUUCAUAACUCCAACUCAAUCAAAAAUUUAAAUAAUUAUUUAAAAAAUAUAAAAAUAGUUUAAAUUAAUCUAACUGAAUUAUUUUUAAUCUAAUCCGAUCAAACCCAACCAAUCAUAACAUAUAAUUUAAACUAAAUUCAAAUAAUUUUGACUCAACUUCAUAAUCAAGAAUUAUCUCGUUUCUUUAAUAAAACUUAGGGUGAGUUUGGAUGGGCGGUGCGUUUACCUGCGGUUAGUGUAAAAACAAUGGUGGCGGUGAGACUAGAUACUAUAGCGAUCCUGUAACGUGAGAUAAAAAGUAAACUAAACGCACCACACCGCACCCAAUUGUCCAUCCAAACCAUCCUUACUCUCUGCAUAUCUACGCACCUCCCACCCUCAAUACCUCUCGCAUUUAGGCACCCCACGCUAUUGGGGAUGCAUUAUGGAAGGAGCAUUGUGCCGCCAAUGAUUGCCAUCAUAUCAGAUCUGAUCUUAUCAAUGUUUUCGAUUUCUCAAAUUUACCAACUUCAGAGGUGACCACAUUUGACACAUACCUUAAUCCUAAUUUUGACUCCACUAGAGAGGUAACAAAAAAAACCUCAAUUCAAGCCUUCCUCCAUCUACGAAUACUCUUUCUUCCAGAAGGAGAUGAAGGGGUCAGAAAAUAUAGUGACCAUUACACUUGUUCAUGAGUCAAGUAGUUGACUUUGGCUCGGCUUGAUUUUUGGGUUGGGUUUGAUUUUUAAAUUUAAACUUAAUUAUAAAUAUAUAUAUAUAUUUAAUAUUGUAUUAAUUUUAAAUAGUAAAACGAGCUUUUUAGAUGAGACGGGAUAACCCAAAAAUGAAUCAAGACUAGAAUUUAUUUUAGAACCAAGCUUUGGGAUGUCUCUCGUAUGCAUACACUGAAGUAUGAUCUCAACUCUCUUGAGUCUUAAGCAACCACUUUUAGCGACUUUUCGUGUUCCUUACGGUGUAAAUCUCCAUUAUUGUAUUACUCGAAAUUCUAUAUAAUUUUUAUGAUACAAUACAACACAUAAUAAAAUAAUCUCGUAGUUUAUUAAUUUUUAUUUAAAAUUAAAUUAAUUAAUGAAACAUAACAAAUAAAAAAACAAGUACGUCAAUAGACCGAUAUGAAGUCGAUGGGUCGAUUAAUCAAUUAAAAUUGAAAGUGGUUAAGUAAGUGAUUUAAGUCAUUGAAAACCCUAAUAAAAAUUUAGUGCAGGUGCAAUUACAACCCAUUGGCAAUAAUCGAGUCUAAGCAAAGUGUUUGGUAAAAGUAUUAGUGGAUUGGAUGUCAAAUUUUUUUAUUGAAAAAAUAAGUAAAUUAGUUUUUAUACAUUUUGAAACUUGUAAGUUAGUCAUUCUAUUAAUUUUUAUGUUAAAUGAUGAUGUGGACAUGCUGGAAAUUAUUUUUAUGGGUAAACUAUAAAAAUGGUCACCUAACUAUACAUUUUGUCCUAUUUUGGUCACCUAAUUAUUUUUUUCGAAUUAGUCACUAAACUUUACGAAAAUAUUUUAGUUACUCUGAGCUUUUGUCGACUUUUUUUUUUGUUUGUUUAGUAACAAAAUUAGCCCUCUAAUAUUUACAUAUUCUAUCAAUUUAAUCCUAAAUAUAAAAAAAUAAAUAAAUUUAGCCCUCAAUAUUUACAAAAUUUGUCAAUUUAGUCCUAACUCUAAAAUUUUAAAAAUUAAUAGUUGAGUGACCAAAAUAGAACAAAAUGCAUAGUUAUAGCUUACCCAUAAAAAAUAAUUUCCAGCAUGUCCAUGUCAAUAUUUAACAGAAAAAAUUUAGCGAAUGGGCUAAUUUACAUGUUUCGAAAUGUAUAAUGACUAAUUUGAGCAUUUUCCAAUAGAGAGCUGAAAUGCAAUCCACCUCUAAGUAUGGGGCUUCCCUGGUACUUUUACCUUUGCCCAUUGUAUAUAUUUCAUCUAAUUAUAAUACUAAUUUUGUUAUGUUUAUGUGCAAGUUGUGGCAUAGAAAAAUCGAACCUAGGGGCCUGCCUUUGUUUUAUGUUUUAAAAAUGUCUAUAAUUGCUGCUACGUUUCUGCAGAUUCUGUGGAUGGUUUGCUCACGUGAAAUUGAAAGGUAAAAUUAUGCUAUUAGUCUUUACAUAUUAUAAAACUUGUAGAUCUAGUCCUUCAUACUUCAAUUCGAUCAAUUUUAUUUCAUGUACUUAUUGAUUCAAUUAAUUUUAAUCAUUGUACUUUUUAAAUUUUAAAAUUUUAGCCUUGACAAAAUAGUAGCAGUUAAAUCUAUUCAGUUAAAUUUUAGAACUAGUCUUAUACCAUGCAUAAAUUUUAAUCAUUCUAUUUAUCGAAUUUCAAAAUUUCAAUUUUAAUACAAAUAAUAGUUGUUAAAUCCAUUAACCGGUUUUUUGUGAAUAAUACAUGUCUGGAUGAUAUUACACAUACGAUAAUAAAUUUAUAUCAUAAAAAAUAAUAAAACUUAACUUAAUAAAUUUAAUAGAUAUCACAACUUACCAAACUAAUAUCAAAUUUUAAUCAAACUAAAAUGUGGUCUAAAAACCACAAAGUCCCUCAGAUUUUUAUUUUUCUCAGACUCCAAAAAAUAAAAAAAAAUGGAAAAUCAUGAAAGAAAAAGAAGAGAUAUCACGUGUCAAGAUCAUAUCAUUUUCGUGAAAGGGAUGAAAAUUUAGAUCCCCUAAUAAAAUAAAAAUGUGGAAGUCAAAAGUUGUUAUCUCCUCCCAUUACACCACAAGCAAAAAGUACCUUAUCUUUUCCUCCUCUAAACUACUUUGGUAAAAAAAAACACUAGGAUUAUUGGGGUUAAAAUUGGAGAAAAUGUUGAUUUUAAAAAAUAUUUAGGGAAAUGUACCACCUUUUCGAUAGGAAAAUAGGUCGAUUAUGAAGAAAGAAAUAAAAAACGCAUUGAAUCGAACCUGCGACUAAAGGAUAUAAAAUCACUAUUAUUUAACUUAAGACUCAAUGACAAAACCACUAGCAUUUAACUAUCUAACUAAAUAAACUAAUGUAUCCAAAAAGUUAGAAAGCGUGCCCUAUAAGACGCGUUUUCUAUUUCUCUCUCCAAAAUUGAUCUAUUUUCUUAAAUAUUUUUUAAAACCGACAUUUCCUCAAAUUUUGACUGGUUAUAGGGAUGGUAAAAAGAAUUCUCAAAAUUAUCGGAUUUGAUCUAAUUUAAAUUUAUAGGAUGAUUUUUUCGUUUUGAAAAUCGAAUUUUAAAAUGGAUGGGGGUUUUAUUUCUAUAUUAGUAUUUCAAAGUCAGAUUAAGAUCCAAUUUAAGUAAAAUUUUCAUAUCAUUUCUAUUGAUGUGUUUACUAAAAUGUUCUUUUUCAAUUUUAUUAAUUAUUUUAUUUUAUUUUAUUUUAAUAUAUAAUUUUAUAAUAACUAUAUUUUUAUUUCUUAAAAAUUUUCAUGUAUUUUUAUAAUAUAUUGUUUUUAUAAAAUUUUAUAAUAUAUAUUUGAUUUAAUAUAAUAAAAGUUAAUAUAUAUAAAAUAAUAUAAAAUUUUGAGACAAAUUGAAAUAUCAUAAAAAUCAGAUGAAAUUAAUAUAUAUAUAAAAGCUGCAUGGCUUAGACUAGGAUUAUUACAAAAAUGCUACUGUAUAUUAUAUAUUAUUUAGGUUUAAUUUAAUUUUCAUCCUUCUCUUUAUAAAGUUGAGAAAUUAGUCCUUUUAUUUUAAUUUUUUAGAAUUUGAUUCUUAUAUUUUAAGAAAAGUGACAAGUUAGUCCAAUUGAGUAAUAUUGUUAAACAUUACCACUAAGCUAUUGAUCUCGAAAUCAGCAAUUUAACAAAUAUAUAUAUAUGUUUGGAAUUAACGAUAAGCAUCCUUAAGGGGAAAAAACAAUUUACAUGCAAAAAAUUAAAAUAAAAAAUCAUUAGUUUAUGUAAAAUGGAGAGACUUUUGACACAUUAAAGUAGAGGACUAUUUUUUAAUUUUUGUAAAGUAAAGGAUGAAAUUUAGAAUUAAACCAUUAUUUUACCAAAGGUUUUUCUAUGGUUUCUUGCCGCCUCGCUUAGUCUCUUCUCUUGCCCAUAUUUUGCAAAUCUGUAGGCAAGUUUUACACAUUAUUAUUAUUAUUUAUUUUCCCAAACCUUUUAUAUAUUUAAUUUAUUUUCUUUUUACAAUUCUCCUUGCGGCCUCUCCAUUCCUAAGGAUUUGUGGAGUUAUUUCGGUUCAUUCUCUGCGAAGGUAUUAAAUCAUUCUUUUUUCUUUAAAAAAAAACCAUUUAUGCUUGUUUUGUAUGAAUCUCUUUUGUAUUUUUUAUCUGUUUAUUUUCAGAAUCGGGUUUGGGUCUUGAAUUGUUCUAAAAUUAAGAUGGAAUUGUUUAUCAUGUUAUACAUCCAAUAUAUGGGUCAAGUUAGUGGCGGAUCCAGAAAUAUUAUUUACGAGACAGAACGAAGUUAGAAAAUUUUUGGGGCGAAACUAAAUUUUAUAUUUUAUAAUAAUAAUAAUAUAAUUUUAUCAUUUUAAUGGUUUAUAUCUUUAUAAUUUUUAGAAGAUUAAAUAAAAUGUUUAUCAUUUUUGAAGGCUAAAGUCUAAUUUAUUAUUAUUAAUUUAAAAUUUUAUAAAGUAUAAAAAACUUAAAUGAAAAAAAAAAUCAGGGAACCGGGAUUCCUAACAACCCUCUUAGAUGCACUCCUGUCUCAAGUCAAACCGAGACCGGAAAAAAACUCGAGCCAUCCUUCCCUGUUGCCAUCAUAGUUGAGAAAAAAAGAGAGUAAUGGAUUGGGAUGCUUACUAUUUGGCUUGUGAUUAUUUAUGUAUGUAUGUAUGUGUAUGCAGAUGCAUUCAGAAGGGCUUGGCCAACCUAAAAUGGGAUAAUUAUAUGUUUUAAUCACUUCAAAAAUUAUAAAUUUAUAAAAUAAUAUAUAAUGAAAUUAUCGUUUAACCCUUAAAAAUAAUAAAAUUUUGAUUAAUCCUUAUAAUAAUUAUAAAAAUAUAUGAGAAAAUUAUAAUUUAACUUUCAUAAAAAUAUAUAACCUAAUAUCGUCUCAGAAAAUUUUUAAUUUCUUCUUGUAUGUGUGCAUAUAUAUCUAUCUAUAUGUACGUACGUACGUAUCUCCAUGUGGCCUUGUUGGCUUGGUCUGUUAAAGAUACGACCGACUCAAUUGCCUGCACCUUUACCAACUUUGCCUGAGCAUCACCCAAACCCCAUACCUCUCUCUUAGUUGAUAUUUUACAUCCAUGAAAUUCAAACCCCUAAAAAUAUCUUUCGUUUCACCAAAUAUCUUCUUUCUUUUGCUAGCUUUUGCAAUGAGACCCUAAGGCCUGUUGGUCCCAUGGGGCAACCCAUGCCUAAUUUAGUCAUAUAAUUCGAUAUUUCAGUUUCUUAACUCUUUUUUAAAAAAAGUCGAAGCCAGCAAUCCAUCAGGGAGAUAAAAUAAAAUUUUAAAAGUUUGAGGGGCCAAAAACUAAAAAAAUUAUUUAAAAGGAACUUAAUUUAAAUACCUCAUAAAUAAAAGGGACUAAAAUAAAUAUUAUACCUCGUAGCUAAAAGGAGACAAGUCCACUAAUUGCCCGUUCUAACUACGCCCAUAAUAUGCUAAAAAAAUUUGGUUAUUUUUCAGAUGAAAACAUGAAAAAUCAACAUUUUCUAAUGUUCAAGGUCCCCGAAGCUUAAAUUUUAAAUGUACAAAAAUUAAAUUACUUGUUUUUUUAUAGUAGAGUGAUUGAUUUACACUUCAUCCUAUAGUAUAAGGACUUCUCAGGUAAUAUAACCCAUGUUGAGGUUCACUGCUCGAGCUUAGCAUUAAAAAAGAAUUGACAUAAUCAUGAAGUUUCUUCAACGUUUAAUUACAUCUUAUCCAUUAAUAUGGAUAACCAAAUAACAAAGUUAGUGGCUUGGAACUUUUUUUUUUUUUAGUUUCAUGCAUUUUAAAGGCAUGAAAGACAAGACAAUGAAACAUAUCAUGAGUGUAAAAUAUUGAUGUACAAUGAGUUUUUAUGUUUUUAAUUUGGUUAAAUUUUGCUAUUAGUCCCUGUACCAUGCACAAGUUAUGGAUUUAGUCCAUGUACUUUAUUUUGGUCAAUUUCGGUAACAGGUACUUUUAGAAUUUGAAGGUUUUAGUCAUGGCCAAAAGAUAGCUAUUAAGUUAUACUAUUUUCAAAUUUUGACGUGGCAGACAUUUUAUCACGUAUGUAAUUCUAUAUAAGUUUAUUAUUUUCACAUAUUAUUCACAUAAAUACAAAAAAAGAGAGCCCGAUUAAUAGAUUUAACAAUUGUCUUUUACAUUAAUACUAAAUUUUAAAAUUUUUAAAGCAUAUAGUAACUAAGAAUGAUCCAACUAGAGAACAUGGAUUAAAUUUAAAACUUUACACAUAUAAUACAAAAUUAAUAGCAGCCUUUUACCAAGUAAAUUUAACCGUUAUCGUUUAGUGAUGACUAAAAUUUCAAAAUUAAAAAAUUACAGAUGUUAAAUUUGACAAAUUCAAAAACCCUUGUUGUGGUGGCCUAUUGGUCAGAUGUUCAUCUUUCCAUGAAUAGCCUGGGUUCGAAUCAUCAUUGUACCAAAAAAUAAAAUUAAUCAAAUUAAAGUUUAAGUACUAAAUCCAUAACUUAGGGGACUAACAGAAGAAAUUGACCUUUUUAGUUUAAGUUAAAAAGGGCGGUGGUGGGAUUCAGGCGUGGUAGUGCUUCUAUCUUUGUGGGCAAAAAAAUUCGAUCCAUUACAUACAUGUGCACCCAUAUAAAAAGUAAAAUACCAUCACAACAAGUGGCCUUUAAAUGUCAAAAUCCAACCCCCCAUUAUAAAUACCACCCCCCCACUUACACCCCCCCAAUCAACAAUUCACUUCAUAUAUAUCAUCCCAUUAAAAUGGAGAAAAAAUUGCAACUUAAGUCCUUUCAUUUCACCCUCUUCUUCCUUUUCUUCUUAUUGUUUGCAUUUAAUAUUGUGGGUGCUUUUGGUACUAGGAAAACACUAUCCAUGGAAGGCUCUAAUGCACCAAACGGUGGUUCCAAUGGUGCUACUGGUUCAGCCCAUGGUCCUAACUGGGACUACAGUUGGGGAUGGGGUUCAAGCCCUGGUAGUGGAUGGGGUUAUGGUUCUGGUUCAGGGAGGUCACCUAAUGGGUUCGGGAGGGGUUACGGGUUCGGGUUUGGGUCUGGUACUGGUUCAGGUUCUGGUUCUGGUUAUGGUUAUGGGAGUGGUGGUGCUCAUGGUGGUGGAUAUGGUGGUGGAAGUGGAACCGGUGGUGGUGGUGGUUCUGGUGGUGGAAGUGGUGGUGGUGGUUCGACUGAAAAUGGAAAUGGUAACCGUUGGCCAUCAAGGAACCCGAACCCUAAUCACCAUGGUUAAAAACAAGGAGGUUUUGAGGUUUGCUUUGUCAGGUGACAAUGGUUAGUGUGUAAUAUAAAAUACAUGGUGUGUAAUAUAUAUUAUAUAUUUUGAAUCUAUGUUAGUUUUCUAAGUUAAAAAAAAAAAAAACUAUGUACCUUUUAUGUGCUUGAUUAUAUAAUUUGAGCUUUUAAGGCCAUGUUUAUUUCCAUUUCAUGCUAUAAUUUUUUUUUUAUAUUUUAAGUUUUCAUGUUCGAAGUUGGAGCGUAAUGUGUUUUAUCUAGUUAACAUUUUUUUUUCUCAUAUAUCUUUUUAACAAAACAUAAAUCGUUUUAGAAUUCAACUUGAGAUUGAUAUCAAUGGUAGAACUGAGAUAGUAAAAUCUUUAUCAUCUUACUCAUGAUUUAAUUGAGAAAAUUAAUUCUGACGGUGUAUAAUCAAUUAAUUCUGACGGUGUAUAAUGUGAUAAAGAAAAUAAUUAUUUUUAGACAUAAAAUUUUGAGGUAUCAAAGUGAACCAUAUUUUCCUAUUUUAGAAUAUACAACAUUAAAGUCGAAUAGAAUAAUAUUAUAUGGUUUUUUUCUAUUAUUCAAUUGAUAAUACUAUGGUUUUUAAAUGCAAAUAUUGUUGUAUUUUGCAUGGUUGACACUAGAGUUAAAAUUUGGUGACUCUUUUUAGAAUAAACAAGGCAAAAUAUAUUAACCGAAAUGUAAAGAGAUGACAUUUUGAUAAAUUUGAGAUUGAAACCUCGAUAUCUUUCUUACCAAUAUAAAACAUGGGUGUUCAUUAAAUCCGAAAAAUAGAUUGAAGGAGCUGAUGGAAAGUAGUGAGAGUUUUUUUUUUCUUUGUUGUCUUUUGAGAGUAUGUAUGGGGUCUUUCUUUGGAGCCCAUGUAAUGAUGUUAUGGUGACUAUAGGGUAUGUAAGAUAUUAAGUAUAACAAGCAUGAUGAUGGGUGGGUCUAUCAUCAUUUAAAACAAUAGUGGAUUUUUAAGACAUUUUUAAUGUUUAAACAAUCUUUUGUAAUUUUUUUUUAUUUGAAAUCAGUAUGGUAUCCAACAAUCACAUUGAGUCUUUAUUAGAUUUUGAGUCUGAGUUGUGUUUGAUCCUUUAAAAGUGGAUACUAACAAUAAUCUUUCCAUAAAAGAAAAUGGGUUGAAGGAGUCGAUGGAAAAAUGACUAUAGAAUAUUUAAGUUAUUAAUAUAUAACAAACAUCAAGUUACUUGUAAGGGGUGGAUUCAUCGUCAUUGAAAUAAUAGUGGAUUUUCAAGGCUCUCUCGAUGUUUAAAUAAUCUUUGGUGACUUUCUUUUUUUUUUUUAAAUUUGUUUGGUAUCUAGUAGUUACAUUGGGUUUUGACUAAAUUUAGAGUCGAGUUGUGUCUAGUCUCUAAAAGUAGGUAUCAACAACGGUUUCUCCAUAAAAUAAAUUAUUUGAAGGAGCCCGUGGAAAAGUGACUGUAAUUUAUGUGAGAUAAUAAUGUAUAACAAACAUGGUGAUGAGUGAAUUUAUCAUUAUUGAACAAUAGUGGAUUUUCAAUGCUCUUUCAAUGUUUAAACAACCUUCUGAAUUUUUAUUUUUUAUUUUUGUAUGAAAUCUGUUUGGUAUUUAGUAAUCACAUUAGACUUUCAUUAAAUUUAGAGUCGAGUUUAGUUUGAUUUUUAAAAUUAACAAGUUUAAACACUAAUUUCCCCAUCCAAAGACUAAAAAAUCAAACUUAAUAAUUUACUUAAAUAACAUCAAACUUCUUAUUACUCAACCCCAUUCCAAAGUUUCACUUUUAACUGAAGACUAAACUAAUUGAAGAAGGCUCAUCUCUUCUUUGCUAAUUCCUCCCACUUUGGCAUGGUAGGCAUUAUUGUAAUACCUAAAACCCCAAACUUAAAGGGUUUAAUUGUAUAAGAUAUUUGCUUAUGACUUAUGAGUAAAGUUAGAAAGUUAGUCAAAAAGUGGGAGCAAACUGCUAUGAUUGCUUAUAUAUAAUCAGGAGUUUUGAGCUAAAUAUUAAACAUUUAAACACGGCUAAUGGAUACUAAUUUUGCAUUUUUAAUAGAAUGGAUUGUUCUAAUUGAGCUGUCAUUUGCUCUCAUAAUGACGUCAUUGGAAUUUACUGCGUUCCUUGAUUCGAAGAGACAUAUGGGCAUGGGUACAGCUAUCAAUUAAGUGGGUUGGGCUUAUUUUGGUGGAUGUGAAGAUGACCUUAAUCUAUUUUUAAGGUUUGAAUUAUUUAAGUUUGAAAUUUAAAAUUUCUGGGUCGAAUCAUUUUAAGUUUUGAUGGUUUUAAGUUUGUGCCAUUUUAGGUUAUUUGUUUGAUUUCUUUUUUUUUCUUAAGAAUACAUAUAAGAUUCGUCACUACAAACAGGAUAAUGGUAACCUCACAAUUAAUUACUUUAUUUAUGAAUUUCAUAGUAAUAGAAAUACAUGUCCUAUAGAAACAGAACUUGUAACUUGCUAUCCUCUUGCCUAGCAGGCAAGGAUUUACUUCUGUGGAUAAGAUGAUUCAUUUGAAUAUGCAACUGACUAAUCAGUCUAAGCGGGAGGCAAUAUACUUUGAUAUUAUUGAUUAUUCUUUGAUUUAAUGAAUCAUCCCAUUUUAAUUGAAAACGCAAAUACCCUUUUUAGGAAAAAAUCAAGUUCUGCUUUCCGUGUUGCUCUUGUAUUGCUUUUUCUUUCUACAUUUUUUUUGUUUGAUUUAUCAUAAUAUUGCUCAACAUCUUUUUCUUGGGUUGAGAGAACGAAUUUAAAAUUUCAUUAUUUUUGUGCAUCUGAUACAAGACCCCUUCACCUAUGGGUUCUUUUUCUUCUUGGUUUCGAAUCUCUAAUCCAAUAAUUUGUUCUUCUUGACAUCUGAGUUCAAAUUCUUUUCUAUUCUAGGUUGAUGUUGUUUCAGCUUGUUUCAAGUUGUAAGCUGUUCUAGGUUUGGUUUAGUUUAGGGUAAUUUACUCUAUUGGUUAUCUAAUUUUUAGAGCGCUUUCAUUUUAGUUAUCCAAUAGUUAAAUUUUCUAAUAACGGUUGACUGUACACACCACAUUAUGUUUACACUUUUAUUUUAGUCACUCAACUUUUAAGUCGCUUAUAUUUUAGUCAUCCAAUUUUGUUUCUAAGCAUUGAAUGAGGUAAAAAAUAUAAAGAUUAAAGUGAAAAGGCGGUAGAAACAAAAAAAAUGCAUUAAAAUAUUGUAAAAUUAAACUUGUUUACCCCAUUGCUGAAAGUUCUAAUUUUUAUUUUCAAUGUUGAAAUUUUAAAUUUCAAAACAUCGAUAUUCAAUUAAAAAUUUUAUUUAUCUUUGAUAGUGUCAAUCAAUUUAUUGCUAGAAUAUUUAAAUUAUUCUCAUUCUAAAAUAUAAAAUUUUAUUUUAUAUUUUCAAAUUAAAAUAAACUUAAAUAAUACGUAUUUAAUAAUUGCCUACGAAACUCACAAAAUUUUAAUUAUAUUAUCUUAAAUCUUCCAUACUAAGCUAAAAAUAAUGAAAAAUCGUCACAAAUAAUUAAAACAAUUUCUUUUAGACAUAUAUAAUAUUAUAUAUUUAAAAUAAAUUUCAAUAAAAAAAUAAUUGUAUACCCAAAAUAAAUAUUACAUAAAAUAUAUUAUAUUAUAAAUAAAAGUGAUUUUCCUAAAACUAAAAAAGCUUUUUUUAUUGAGUUUAUUUGGACAACACAAAGUAAUUGGAUGAAAGUGUAAUUAGUAUGAUAAGAAUUACACUCUCUUGCAAUUACUAAGAAUUGUAAUUCUCUAGACAUGUUUGAGCAUAGUGUAAUUACAUCGUAAUCUCAUAUGUCAUGUUUAGUAGUACAAGUUGUAAUUACACGGUUACAUAAAUUAUAUUUUUAGAAAAUAUUUAUCUAUAAUAUACAUAAAAUCACGAGUUUGAAAAAACUUUUAAAUUGAGGAGAAAUUAUUAUUUUUCAUCGUAUUACUAAAUUGACAUAUAAAUACAAUUAAAUUUAAUUCAAAAUAGUUAAUUAAGAUUUAGAUGUUUUUUUAUAAAAAUAUUCAUCCCAAUUCAUAUUAAUAUGAUUUACGAGAAGGUAUCAUUACAAUAAUUAUUCUCAAGUCGGACAAGAAAAGCACGAAAAAAAUAACAUACACGAAAAAUAUGAUUUACGAGAAGGUAUUAUUACAAGAAAGGUACAUAUAAAGUGUUUAUUUUAUAAUUAAAAAUCCAUCAUUAUUAUUUACAUCUAUAAUAUAAUUAAUUUAUUUAUAUCGACUUUGCAGUCAUCAAAGCAAUGAGGAUUGAAAAGUGAAAUUAUGAUUCUAUAAUAUUUCUUGGCUAUUUUACCUAAACGACCCAAAAAAUAAUUAUUUACGUAAAUCACAUUGGUUCAAAAUCAAUCAAUUAAGUUAUCUGAAAUGAACAGUAAAAUUGGAUUAAUGGGAUUAGAUGGGUACCACUAUUUUUUUCUGUUAAAAAAAUAAUUUUUGAAGUUUUGGACACUAGAUGAACAACACCUAUGUAUUUUUUCUGUUAAAAAUAUAUUAUUUUAAUUAGAUAAAGGGUUGCUGGCCAUCAGUGUGCUAGCACCCCCAAAAUUUUGUUUUUUUUUAAUUGUUGAUAUAAAUAUAUAUUAGUAUGAUACGAUUUGAAAAAAAUAUAUGGGUGCCGGCCAUCUAGUGUUUGAAACCCCAAAAAUUAUUUUUUUAACAGAAAAAAAUACAUAGGUGCCGACCAUCUAAUCACAUAACCUAAUUUUACUGUUCAUUUCAGUUCAUUUAGGUGAUUAUUUUUGAAUAAUGCUUAUUUAUGUAAAUAAUUAUUAUUUUUUGAAGUCAUUUGGAUAAAAUAGCCAUAUUGUACACAAAUAACAUUUUAUAAUAUUAUACUAUGACUUACAAAAUAUAAUUUAUUUAAGUAUUAAUUAAAUUAAAUAUAUUAUAUAAUUUUUUUAAUUUUAUAAAUAAAUGUGUAUAUCCAUGUGCAAUGCACGAGGCCAGAAAAAAACUAGUUACUAUAAUAAAUUAGAGUAAUUAAUAUUUUUACAAGUCUUUAUUUCAACCACAUUUUGAAUAUGUCAAAUUUAAAAGUUCAUGGGAUAAAUAUUUUUUAUAAAUAAAUAAAUUAUUAUUUUUAUAAUACAUAACAUUGACAUGUAAAUAAGUUAUGUUUAUAUUUUUUAUCAUAAUUUUUUUUAUAAAUAAAUAAAUUAUAAUUCUUUUAAUAUUUUACACGUAAGUUAUAUUUUAUAAGAUACUUUUGACCAUAAUUUUAGAAAAAAAUUUAAACUUUAAAUAAUAUAAUUUUUGUUCCAACUUUACAGAAUUUACAUGGAUUAUUUUUUAUAAUAUCUUUAAUUUUUUUUCCACAAAUAUUCCAAACACUAGUAUGUAUUCAUGUAUGAAAAUCUCUAUUCCUCCUUAAAAUACAAAAAAUAAAAAAAAUAUAAAAUGGAAUAAUGCUCUGUAAAUUGGUUUUGGGCCUCGGCCAUUAUGUCGGCACAAAUCCCGAUAUAUAUAUUUUUGUUUUCCCGCUUAAUCAAUUAAUUUGAAAAUUUCAUUCCCCCUUUGAUUUUGGAGCCACUCCGUUUAUUAUUAAACCCUUCAUUUUCCCCCAUUUCUUUCUAUUUCCCUCCCACUUCCCAAAAUCCUUUCCUACAUUUCCCGCCGUCCAAAUCAGCUCAAUUCCUCACUUCGGAUUCGGCGCCAGUUCGGCCAUCGUUGUUUAUCCGGCUCUCUGAACAAUCAUCGCCGACUGGUCAGAAUCCAUAAAAGUACCUUUGUUUCGGGUCAAGGGUUUCUUUUCUCUCGUCCAAACCGAUAAUGCCGAGCACGCGAAGAGCUUCUAAUCCUAUGAAGGACACUGAUUCGACCAAGAAUCCGACUCGCUCGAGCCAGCGUAAUCGGAAGACAGUGUUGGAGCCGGAAAACGAUGAAGUCGUCGUUGUCAGUGAAGGAGAGAACAGUGAAGUCUCUCGUGGUGGUAAGCGGAAGGAAAGCUCUGCCUCUGGAGCGGGCAACACCGCUAAGAAGUCAAAACCAAGUGUAGCUAAAAUGACGCCUUUGGAGACCGAGAAUGGUGAAGCUAUGGUUGUUGACGGUACUGAGAACGGCAGCAAAACGACACCAAAAAAUUCGAAAAAGACGAAAAAGGAUGUAGCUGUUAAUGAAGACGAGGAGGAAACAAAGUUUUUAGGGGAACCUGUUGAUGACGAGGAAGCCAGACGGCGAUGGCCAAAACGCUAUCAAGGAAAGGUGUACAUACCGUAUCUUUUUAUUUUCUGGGGAAAAGAGUUUAAUCUUUUGAAAGUUCUGUUAAAGUUAUAAAUUUUCGUAUGUCACGCAAUAGAAUUUUGAAUAGUCCUUUCUUUUACCUUUUUAUUGAUAUUUACUACUUUUGUCAUUAGGGAGCAAAAAAGGUUAUUUCAAAGAGUUCGAAUGGGUAAGUAAAUAUUUCUUUUUUCCCAUAAAUCAAUUUCACUUAAACUAUUUAUUUACAUUGCAUUUAUUGUUUAAUUGAAUUAGUGGGUGUUUGUUAUUGUUUUCGAAGUUCUUUAUAUUUAUUUUUCAAGCUUUCAAGUUUUUUUUCCCCUUUUCAAUUUAGCAUUUUUUGUUAAAAUGACUAAGAGCUCGGUUAGUGUCUUAAAAAUCGUUUUUGAAAAAUGUAAAUGAUUGUUUUUUAAAUCCAUCAUCUAGCAUUUUAGUUUGGGGCUAAAAAGGUUUUGAUAACAGCCUUCUAAUUAGUAUUGCUUUUGCUGUGGAAUAAAUGUAUUUAGAAAGUAAAAAGGAAUGCUAAAUACAUAUGGUGUAAUGAGUUUAAAGGGGCUAAGGUUUGGAUUCUGAGUUCAACAUUGCAUAAGAUCAACGUAGAAGCAUUUGACUGUUUUGGGUGAACAAUAACGAAUAAAAAAAAGUUUUAUUGGGAAAAAACAAGUGAAUAACUUUUUUCCCAACAUUUUAUAUUUUUGUUAAAGAUCAAAUAAACCCUUCGUUGUAGUUUUAAAGAUGUGCAACCUUAAUUUUCCAAUUUAUUUGGUACAGUGACUCUGAAGAGAUCAUUCAAGCUCGACGGCACUAUACCCAGGCAAAAGUGGAUGGUUGUAUGAUAUUUAAUCUUUAUGAUGAUGCUCAUGUUAAAGUCAGUAUUACUUUCUCAUCUAUUAUUUUGUCCUUAUAUUUUCUUUUACCAUAUUUAAAAUCAUAUUAGUCUUGUUUAUUUGUUAGUCAUAUUGAUCUUUUGCAUUUGCUUGAUUGGUAGUUAAACUCAGUCAUUAUAUUUUAUUCAUUUGAUUGUUUACAAACCUUCUCAAAUUUAUCAUCCCCUGAAUUGGAUAUUGUUUAGACUUUGUUAGGAUGAAUGUUUUUCUCUACAUGAAAAUAUACAAUAUGCUUGAUGUUAUUCAAUAACUGAUUUACAGAACAUAUUUAGGAUUUCUAGCAGUAAUUAUUCUGGAUCCUCUCUGAUAAGCAGAGAGGAGUUCGAGUAAAUGCUCUAUGGAUUUAGUCAUAGUGGUAACUAAUUAUAUUAUUUUUGUUUUGUAUAUAUAUAGGCUGAAGAUGGAGAAGAUUGCUAUAUAUGUAAAAUUGUUGAGAUGUUUGAAGCAGUUGAUGGAGAUUUGUACUUUACAGCUCAAUGGUUUUACAGGGCUCAAGACACAGUAAGAUGAUUCUUUUGUACUAUUUCCAUUAGUUUUAAACCUUUUAAUUUGACGUUAAAUAUCAUUCCUUUUCCAGGUACUUAAAACGUUAGGCCACCUUAUUGACAAGAAGCGUGUAUUCUUUUCACAAAUUCAAGACGACAAUCCUUUGGAUUGUCUUGUUGCAAAGCUUAAUAUUGCAAAAGUAUCUUUGAACGUACGUUUUCCGUUUCUUGCACUUCAUUUUAUUGUUUUUCACUGUUUCACCAUGCUGUAUAAUUAUUAUGGUUUUUUAGGUUGAUUUGGAGGCAAAGAAUAAAGAGAUUCCAAGUUGUGAUUAUUAUUGUGACAUGUUAUACAAAUUGGAAUAUUCGUCUUUCACUAACUUGCCCCCAGGUAGCUGUUAUUCCUCUGAUUUGCUACCCCUUUUUUUGAGUGUACGUCAAUGAACAUUUGAAAUUUACUAAUUUGCUUCAACUUCUAAUAAUUUCUUUUCUUAAUCAAAGAAGGGAAAAAAAAUGCUAGCGAAGAAGCUUCAUCUACAAUUUCUGAUGACAGCCCAGAUACAGUAAAUGGAGCUAACAGUGGUUCCGAGGAUGCUUCAUUGCUGGACCUGUAUUCUGGUUGUGGAGCAAUGUCAACCGGCUUGUGCCUUGGGGCAAAUAUGGCCGGAUUAAGGCUAGUGACUGUGAGUUAGUUUACAAUAUUUAAAUAAUUGUGCGUUUUAAGUUUUUUGUAAUUUGUAAAUUCUUAUAAAUUUAGUUAUUUAUUGGGUUUUGUUGAAUGAGUUUAGAAAUGGGCUGUGGAUAUCAAUAAAUAUGCUUGUGAAAGUCUCCAAUGGAAUCAUCCGGAAACAACGGUAAAAUUUAUUUAUAAUUUAUUUUGUGAUUUAUUGUUGUUUAAAUCAUGUAAUAACCUUGGUGCAAUACUCGGUUUCUCAGGUCAGGAAUGAAUCUGCUGAAGAUUUUUUAGCAUUAUUAAAAGAAUGGGAACGGCUGUGUGCUUCAUUUUCAUUGUCAAAAUCUGAGAAUUUGGAGAGGCAGUCAUUCAAUUCAAGUGUAAAUGAAGAUAAUGUAAAUGAUGAAGAGGAAGAUGAAAAUGAAGAUGGUGAUGGUGAAGUGUUUGAAGUAGAGAAAUUUCUUGCUAUAUGUUACGGUGAUCCGAAAGAGAAAGGGGAACGUGGGUUGUACUUAAAGGUAUUUGAGCUUUAUAACCUUGAUGUUUAUUGGCCUGUAAUAGCUCUAUUUAUCUCACGUGGCCAAUUCUUUUUUCUUCUUUCAUUUAUUCUCUUUAGAACGUUGUUCUGAAAUCCUAGCUACGGAACUAAUUUUACAACUUCAAUUCUAGCACUGAUUUUUUAGCUUUAUGUUUCGCGCGUUAGCUUUGGGGAACUCCACCAUGACUUCUAUCCCCUUUUGUAGGUUCGUUGGAAGAAUUAUGGACCAGAAGAAGAUACAUGGGAACCUUUAGAUGGAUUGGGGUAUAUCAACUGUAUUUAUGAUUGAUUAUUUCGUACUUAAAUAUGCGAACUUGUCUCUUAACAGUUUCUUCUUUUUAACAGUGAUUGUCGAGAAUGCUUGAAGGAUUUUGUUACAAGUGGCUUUAAAGCAAAAAUUCUGCCCUUACCUGUAAGUUUCUCUUGUACUUUCUUAUGUUACUUUUUAAAAAAGUGUAUUUCUUUAAAUGAUAUUCAUACAUAAUUUAUGUUGUAUUAUUUCUUUAUUUUGUUUGAAUUACUCAUGUUUGACAUAUUUGGAUACGAGUGUAUAGACAUGAUCUUUCAUUAACUUUUCAAAUACAUAGAAAAAAAUUAAAAAAAUUGUACAUACAUAUGUAUAAACCCAAAUCUGAAUUAUAUAUAACCUAUAACAUUAGCCCUUGCUUUUUAUCACAACAAAGUAGCGUCUCUAGGGAAGGACAAGAUAAUUAUAAAAUCGUAGAGUAUUUCCUGAAUUCACAACAUAAAUUUGCCUUGUUUUUGUUACAAUCACAAAUUCUUAGUAUGUUCUGUAUUUUUUUCCAUUGUCCUAUAGGGUGAUGUUGAUGUGAUUUGUGGAGGGCCUCCAUGCCAAGGCAUCAGUGGCUUUAAUAGGUUUAGGAACAAGGAUAACCCCUUGCAAGAUGAAAAGAACAAACAACUUCAGGUUUUCAUGGAGAUAGUGGAGUACUUGAAGCCAAAAUUUGUUUUGAUGGAGAAUGUUGUUGACAUUGUAAAGUUUGCAGAGGGAUAUCUUGGACGAUAUGCUUUGAGUAAGCUAAUUCAUUUAAAUUACCAAGUCCGAAUGGGAAUGAUGGCAGCUGGUGCUUAUGGUCUUCCCCAAUUUCGUAUGCGUGCUUUCUUUUGGGGUGCUCGUCCUAAUCAAGUGGGUUUUUUUUCCUGUGAAUACAAAAAAUUGUAACUCUUGAAUCACUUGAUGUUGUGUUAUAAUUAACCUUUUGGAAUAUGUUGAUCUUGUAUUGAUUAAGUUUCACUAAUAAAUUCUUAACACUGUUCUCAGAAAUUGCCACAAUAUCCACUUCCUACACAUGAUCUUGUCCUAAGAGGUGUCAUACCUGUUGAGUUUGAGGUACAAAAACCUUUCUUUGAUUUUAAUUUUUAAAUGCUUCUAUAUUCUCACAAUACUUAGUAAAUUGCAGAUGAACACUGUAGGCUGGGAAGAAGGUAAAAAAAUAGAGUUAGAAAAGAAACUUCUACUAGAAGAUGCCAUUUCUGACCUUCCAUCAGUAUGUUUUAAGAUUACUUGAAGAUUUUCCCUCUUUUUUUUCACUGCUUGGCUAGUUCAUUUAUCAGUUACAUGUACCCUUAUGUAACUCAAUUAUUCUUAUAGGUUGGAAAUUAUGAGGAUAAAGAUGAAAUGGACUAUGAGAAAGAACCUAAAACAGAGUUUCAGCGAUUCAUCAGGUUAAGAAGAGAGGGUAUGUAUACUUUUCAUAUUUGCUAAUUAUUUAUAUACAUUCUCUGAAGUCCAUGUUAAUGAAAUUGUUUUGGAUGGGCGUUAUUCAAGUGUGUCCGACAUGAAUAUUUU
Molecule: long non-coding RNA, 67511 nt
Filed under: Gossypium barbadense (sea-island cotton)
Lineage: Eukaryota; Viridiplantae; Streptophyta; Magnoliopsida; Malvales; Malvaceae
Description: long non-coding RNA (GBAR_LNC017569)
Rfam family: MIR7502 microRNA precursor family (bases 39732-39869)
Source: RNAcentral